Molecule: long non-coding RNA, 79248 nt
Filed under: Malus domestica (apple)
Lineage: Eukaryota; Viridiplantae; Streptophyta; Magnoliopsida; Rosales; Rosaceae
Description: long non-coding RNA (MDOM_LNC020706)
Rfam family: Plant small nucleolar RNA R71 (bases 20605-20709)
Source: RNAcentral
AAGAAUCACAAAGUUGUUGAGGUUAAUUCACUUAGAUGUUAGUGACCCUUGUCCACAACAUAAUACUACUCAUGUUGUAUGACAUUCACCGAAGAUCGCUCUCGGUUGGACUAUCAUUUAUUUUGAAUAAACACAUGUCCGAAUACUUUGCAAAAGGUUUCAAAGAAUUCAAGAAAUGUACGUUGAUGAGUAAGAUGUCUAAAGUAUUUACCUCCUUAGAUUUGAUCCAAGGAAAGGUAACACUUUAGAACAGUUUCCUUGAAAGAUAUCAAGGAAAGAAGCAUCAUAAGAUAAUGGAUUUCUCCAUUAAGAGAAGAACGAACUCGAAUAAGAUUUAGUUUGUUGGAUGUUAUCAAUUACCCAUAUAUAGGAUAUAUACUUCUAAGAUAAUAUGAUUAUCAAUUAGAAGAUCUUCCAAAAUUUUCAUGACUUCAUAGGAUGUAGUUGGAAAGAAAGAGAAAUCUUAAUCAUGUUAAGAUUUAGGGUUGUAUGCUAAUAAGCAAUAUUUGUUUAAAGAAUUAUCUUGUGGGUAUCCUUAAAUUAACAUUUGGAUAUCACUUCUAUAAACCAACUAACAAAUGUUGUUUGUUGGGUAGUUCAUUGUAAUCCUACACUAGGAUUUGCCUAAGAUAGAGCAAAUGAAUGAGGGAUAGAACUCAAAGAAUGGGUUCUUUGAGAUACAAGAUAAGUGAUCAACAAAUAUAACAACCUAGUUCCUAUACCACAAGAUCCAAGGUAGUUGAGAAGGAUUUAUAAACUGUCUCAGUUGAAUGGUUUGAACUUUAUGAUUAUGUCAUAGAGUUGCACCUCUUAAUUCGAAAGAAAUAAGAAUGAAAAUCCUUAUGACUACAUUGAAUGUAUAUACGACAUAUACUCAAGGAAAUGGUAAAGUACCAUUUGACCCGAAAUAAUGAAACCUUUAUAGCUAAUUGGUAGCUUAAGGUGACUACAAUCAAAGAGAUUGGUUGACUUUGAAGAAACCAUCUUUGACGUAGUCUUUGUUUCAAUUAAUUCGAAGAUUGCUAGCUACAACUAAAUGGUGAUUCAAUGUUUGGACAUAAUAUGGGUUUCCGAAACCAUUAUUAAGAUAGUCUUGAUAAUAUAUGUCAAAAACUAUGAAUCACAAGACAUGUAAGUUGUAGAGAUCCAUCCAUCAUGAAUCUUAGCAAGCUAGUGGGAGCUAUAAGCGUCUUAUGAGAGAAAGAUCAAAUCGUUUGAUUUCUCAUAAAGAUGUAAAUAAAUCUUUUGUUUACUAGGUUUACAAAAGAUUAGUGGGAGUUAAUCAUGUUCCUAAAUUUGAAUAUAUAUAUAUAUAUAUAUAUAUAUAUACACACACACAUAUAUGAUAUAUUAAUUUUGGAAAUGAAAAGAAUACUUCUUCGUUAAAGUUAUGACUUUAAACAUUCUAUAACGAUAGAAUGUAUAUGGGAGACAUAGUCAAUAAACAUGGGAUGGAAAUCUAUAAUGAUAGAUUUCAGGAUAUAAUUGGAUUAUAUCAAGCCCUAAUGAUAGACAAAAGAUGCUAGGAAGUUUCUCAUAUGAUGAUAAACUUCAAUCAGAAGAACAACUUUAGUAAGACUAGGAGGUAGCUCUUCUAAAAGGGAACGUACCCUUUGACUCCCAAAGAAAUAAUGCGUAAAUAGAAUCCUUUAUGUAUAUGCAAAAAGGUGAUUUAUGUAUUUCAUAUUGUAUGAAAAAACGUUGAUAUGAGUUGUACCAAGAUUGGUACAAGAUGAUAUCAAUGCAAGCCCAUGAUCAGAACCUUGGCAACUGUCAAGAAUGAGGAAGAAUUAGACGUAAUGGAAGCGUAAAUGUAUUAGAUUAUGAAUCUAAUCCAUCAUUGGAUGUUUCUUCAUUAUGAAUGAAGAGAUAAUCAUAUAUCUCUUUAUUAUGACUAAAGAGAUAUUUGGAUGGAAACAUUAAAAGUAAUGACUUUAGUGUGUUCCAUUGUGAAUGCAAAAUAUAUUGCCAUAUAGAAGCUUACAACAAUGUUGUUUGGAUGAGAAAGUUCAUUCAUGAACUCUCUAUUCGGUUCCAACCAGAAAGUGUCUCUAGUGUACCGACACUACGACACUAAUAGGGCGAUAGCUCAAGCCGAGGAAUCAAGGUCUCAUCAUGAUCCGAACUCAAAUGUGAGACUAAACCACAUGAUUAAGAAUCAUGUAUAAUGGUGACGUCGUUAUUCUCAAGGUUGCUUCUAUGGAUAACAUAUAGAUAUCCAUUGUCUAGGCCUACUACUCAGCCAUUUUUGAAAUGACUACAGAAGAGGUAUCAUCAUUGAUGACCAAGCUGAUUGGCUCUAGUGCAAGUGGGAGAUUGUUGGAAAUGUGCCCUAAAACCAAUCAUAUGAUGAUACUUUACGGACAUUUCACAUGUUAAACUAAUCUAGUUUAAUAUCAAGGGCAAAGAUUAUUGUUUUAAGCUGUCUCAUAUAAAUGUUAUAUGCUUAAACGAUAAAUCCAAGGAAUAUGUAAUUAGGAGAAUGUAAUUUAAAGAAGUUAGAUUCAUGAGACCAUUCUCUUUCGUAUACAUAUCCUAAAUGUUCCUGAUCAUAGGAUUGCCAAUUGGGCAUUGACAGUCCGUUAAGAUCAGUACGUGCUGUGUCUUUUCUCAGAGAGAGUGACUGGUCUCGAGUCAUUGGUGUGAUUGACACCAAGACAAGCAUGUAGGUGCUUAAUAGAGAAUGAGUCCACUGAACACGAUCAACGAUGAGUUCUCAUACUUAUGUCACAUUAGAACUCAUGGUUGGGAUAACGCAAAGUAGUCAUUUAACCUGAGGCAUCAUAGUUGUCUUGUGGUUAGGUCCUUGAUCUUUGACUAUGUCAAAGUCACUCUAUCAGAGGGUGUUCACGGCAUAGUUGGGGUUAAGCCACUUAGCCAUGGAUGCAAGUGAAUGCGCAACAAGGGAUCUCUAACCUUCAAACCGUUUGAGGGAGAAUACUCUAUGAUAUGAUUAAGAAUCUUUGGCCAGAGUAUGAAUGAGAUUUAGGAAAUCGUUCCAAAUCACAUUCAAGGUAAUCAUAUAAGUAAAAGAAUCACAUUGGAUAAUAGACAUGAAUAAACUAUCAAACCAAACAAUGUGGUCAAGAGUAUUGUAUUAGAGAAAGACCGUAUUGCAUUGUAAUCCUAAACUGAAUAGGUUCGCCACCUCUUCUGAUUAGCUUGGGUAACCAUGACAUACUGCUAGGUGUCACUCAUGGUUUGUGGAAGCCCUAAACGUGUAUAAACACUAAAGGGAGAAUUGAAAGUAAGUUUCAAUUCACAAUCGAUUUGAAAGAGUUCUAAUCGCCCACUACCUCGCUAAAAGGAACCUAAUGGAUCGUACACCGUGUAAGGUAGAGAUUGAAGAAACAACGGAGAUGAGUAAGGAUAAUUAAAUGGUUUAAUUAUUUAUGGCAAGGAUUAAUUAAUAUGUUAAUUAAUCAAACGAAUAAAGUUCGUUAAAGACCUCGGGUUAGUUUUGGGCCUCAAGGCCCAAUGGGCUUCGAACGUCAAGCCCAUUGACUUAAGUUGUAUGACAACUUAAUGACUAAAUAUUCACAAAGGCCCAAACAGCCCAAUAACACCCUAUGGCCGGCCAUAUUGAUAAAGGAGUGGGUUUUGGACUUAUUACAAGUUUGCCACUCCAAUGAAGGUAGGUAUAAAUGUGAUUUUAUAGCCUUUUCUUCAUUAGGGUUUUUUUUAGAGAAAAGAUGAGAACACAAUGUCUAUCCCUUUCUCUCUAAGAGGCCGGCCACCCUAGAGGAUUUUAGCUAGCAAUCUUACUUCCUCUAGGUCACUUAUCUCUUCUUCAAGUCCAUCCUUGGUGUGGAAAAAUUAGAGGUUCUCAACUUUGGGAACUUGGAGAAUCCUUUCAACCAUCCUCAUCCAAGAAAUCCAUGGAUCUAAGAAGCAAGGAAUAAAGGCCUUCUCCUUGGGUGAUUAGUCUUUGCUUAUGCAAAGAGGAAUCAACAAAGGUAUAAAAUCUCUCAAUUCACUUUGUUCUUGAGUUGAGUCUUGGUUCACCUUUCUACUAGGCUUUGAAUUUCAUGGGUAAUGUUUUGUUUUUUAGUGCAUACAAGCAUGAUUCUGCCUUUAAUUGUUAAUUGCAUGCCAUAGAUGUUGCUCAAAAGAACAUGUUUUUACAAAAUUGUCUUCAAUUUACAUUACUUGCAGAUUCACGGCCGGAUUUACAUUGUUUCAAGACCUCCGGUUUUGUGCAUCAACAUUUUCAAUAACAAGAAAUCUAUAAGCUAUACUACUUAGAGCAUAUUCGAGAAAAACACAAGUAGUAGCUUUGGCAACCAAUUUAGGUAUUUUUGAAUUAGUUAACUUUGUAUAGGCUAAACAACCCCACACUCUUAAAUAUCCUGAAUUUGGUUUAUGGCCUUUCUAUAUCUCAAAAUGUGUAAUUUUUGUUUUCUUGUGUGGCGCUCUGUCCAACACAUAACUAAUUCUUUAAUAACAUUAUUUUCAAUAUCAAGAAAUCUAUAAGUUAUUUAGAGCAUAUCCGAGAAAAACACAAGUAGUACCUUUGGUAACCAAUUUAAAACUUUUAGGAUUAGUUAACCUUAUAUAGGCUAAACAACCCCACACUCUUAAUAUCUUGAAUUUGGUUUAUGGCUUUUCCAUAUCUCAAAAGUGUGUAAUUUUUGUUUUCUUGUGUGGCAAGUUGUCCAACACAUAACAAGCAGUUAAAAUAUCUUCACCUCAAAGAUUAGAAGGAGCACCUGAAUCAAUUAGCAUAGCAUUUGUUAAAUCAAUCAAAGUUCUAUUUUUUCAUUUCGCUACGCCAUUAAAUGUAGGAGAAUAUGAUAGUGUAGUUUCAUUUCUUAUUCUUAAAGAUUGUACAUAGGAUUUAAACCCAGAAGAUUCGUAUCCUUCCCUAUAUCACUUCCAAGUUUUUUAAUUUUUCUUCCCAGCUGAUUUUCAACUUCAAGGAGGAAUUCUUUUAAAUUUAUUAAAAACAUCACUUUUCUUUUCCAUCAAAUAAACAUAAGUAUAUUUGGAAUAAUCAUCAAUAAAAAUGAUAAAAUAUCUAUUUCCUCCACAAGUUAAAAUUCCUUCAAAUUCACAAAUGUCAGUAUGAAUUAAUUCCAAAAAUUCAUAAUUUUUUCAACAUUUUUAUGAGGCUUUUUAGUGAUUUUAGCUUUACUACAACUUUCAAAAUUUUCUGAGUCUUUUGUCAUUGUUGGAAUUAAAUUCAAACUCUCAUGAUUCCUACAUAUUUUCUAUUUAUAUGACAUAAACAUGCAUGUCAAAAUUGUAAAAAAAAUCAUAUAAACUGAAGUAGAAGCUUUAUUACCAUUCUCAACAUUCAUCUUAAACAUGCCAUCACAAGCAUAACCCUUUCCACAAAUACACCAUUUUUGGUGGUUACAUAUUGAUCAUAUUUCAUGGUCUUUUUAAAACCAGCCUUAUUAAGAAGAUAACUCGACAUAAUAUUUUUCCUCGUAGAAGGCGUAUAAAGUACAUCUUUCAAAACUAAAGUCCUUUUAGAGGUAAAUUUGAGAUCAACCUCACCACUUCCAAGCACUUGAAUUGUAUGUGAGUUACCAAACAUAAUUGUCUUCAGCUCCUUAUACGGAGUAUAUUUCUUGAACCAACCUUUGUCAAAGCAACACAUGCAUAUUGGCUCCAUAAUUUGCCCACCAUCCUUCGUCACUUGUAACCAUCAGUAAUCAUCGUAACAAAUGGUUCUUCUGUUACAUGAGCUUGAGGAUUAGGCUCAUGUUCCCAGUAUCUGCAAAAUCAAGCAAUAUUCCCACUCUUGCCACAAACAUAACAAGAUGAAGGGGAUUGUUCGUUUUUACUCAUAUAAUUUCCUUUAUUAUGUUGGUAAGGUUUUCCAAAUUUCUUUAUAUUUUUCUUCUUAGGCUAAAGCUGAUCAUUUUUAGAACAAUUAUUUUUGGACAUGUUAUUGUUUGAUAAGAUUAGAUUUACCUUUGUAGAAUUACCAUUAUCCUCUUGCAUAAGAACAUCUUGUCCUCUUGCCUCUUCCUCUACACAGAUGCAUGUAAUCAAGGUCUCCAAGGAAAUCUCCUUUUUGUUGUGACACUUUGUUUUAUGGAACUCUCUCCAAGAAGGUGGUAAUUUGUCUAUGAUACCAGCUACAAUAAGAUUGUCAUCAAUUUUGACUCCUUCGGAUGUGACUUCCACUAUAAUCAUUUGGAAACCUUGGACUUGCUCUGCAACUGAUUUCCCAUCCACCAUUUGGCAAUGGAAAUCACAGCUUGCUGCAUAUUUCUUUGCACUUGCCUCCUCGAUGUCAUAUUUACUCUGCAAAACUUUCCAUAUCUUUGUUGCAGAACAAUAAGUGGUAUCAUAAUAAUCAUAAAAAUGACUAGCAAGACAAUUCAAGAGAUAAUAUCGACACUUGUAUUCAUCGUUUAAUAUUGUUGGACUUUGUUUCAUGGUCAUAGUGCUCAUCUUCAUUCAUGUUCUCCAUGCUCUGUUUAUUUGGAUUUUUGUCGGUGAGAACGUAGUCAACUUUGAGAAGAUUGAGAUAGAAAAAGACUUUCCCCUUCCACCUCUUGAUGUGAGCUCCCUUGAAACGGAAUGGCUUGUUGAGAUCUCCAACAUUAUCAAAUGGCUUCUUAGGUACAAGCUCCAUGAAUUGAAUCUCCUUAAAAUUGUUAGGAAAAUUACAAGAAAAUUGUAAUAUUCUUCUAAGAAGCGCGUGGACAAUUAGGCUGAGGUGCGCUAGUAUCUCACUUUCUUUAAGAAGAUUCAGGCCCACUACGGUUUGACUAAAAUUCACGAACCGGUGCAGCUAUAUAUCUCUUGACUUGUCCUGUCCAGGAUGCAACAACCUCACUGAAUUUUUGUUUGACUCAAACCUAUCUACACAAAAAGGGAAGAGUCCAAAGCUCCACCAUAACAACACCCUUCUUUGGCUAAGUAAAGAUGGAAAAGAUGGAGGAAUAAGGAAUAAUAGUUGUAGAGGAAAUUGCUUGUGGGAUGAUCAAUAAAAAUAAUGAUAGAGAAAAUGCUACUAAUUAUAGGUUUAUUAUCACCCUUAGUGAAUAGGGUAAUAAACCUAUCAUUAACAACAAAAUGAGUUACAAGAGUUACAGUACGUGAAAGGUUAAAAGACUCGCACUUAAUUCCUCACUAAUAAUGAAUAAUGACAAACUUAAUACCCCACAACAACCAAAUAAUGACAAACAAACUUAAUUUCCCACUAACAACUAAAUAAUGACAAUUAUAAUUAACAUAUUUAAUAUUAAAAAUGCACGAACAUGUUCUUAUCUGCGAGAUUUCUUUUGGGGACAAGGAUUGUCUGCCCUCCACUUCUAGUGCCUUUUUUGUGCCCUCCUGUUUUGUGUGGUUACGGUUAAGUCACGUCAACAUUUUAUAUUGUUUUUUUAUACAUAUAAUAAGACAAAAAUGAAUAGUAAUAUAAAAUGUUGACGUGGCUUAACCGUGACCAUACAAAUAAGAGGACACUAAAAGGGCACCGAAAAUGAAAGGCAGACAAUCCUCAUCUUUUUUUGGAGUGUGAUAUCAGAGGGUAGUGCAGACGUGGGCUCUAUCAGCACUGAUGCUUUCUCUCUUAGUCCAAUCACAGAGGACAUUAAACUGUGACUCUGCUCUCUCAAUGGCGCACGAGUCUCGCAUGUACGACGUUCUGCUAAUGCAGUGGCUCAUAAAUUAGCUAGAAUGAUUUUAUUUUUAUUUGGAUUCUUGUUAGUUCGAGAAACCACGGGAUAUGUGCAAUGUCCUUCUAGCUGAUUGUACCACUUGUUAAUUCAAUAAAGUCACUAUCGUUUCUUCUCAAACAAUAAAAUAAAUCAAUUUGGAAUUUAUUCAUUGCGUUUAAGACAUAUAAAAACAUUAUUUUAUAGAUUGGCAUCUGCUUAAGUAGGACUACAUAAAUUACGUUACAUUUCUCCAUAAAAUUAUGAAGUAGCUACAAACAUUUAGAAAUAAACUGUAUAUGCAUAAUUGCCAGAAAACUCAUCAUCACUCAGCUUCGAUGAGUCCAAUUCCGGCAUGAAAAUCAAAGCCUAUGUGGUAUAAGAGUACCAUAUGAUAGUGGAGCUCGUGGCAGAUGAUCGGUCUUCUUCUCAUUUGAACCUGAAUACGGCCUUUUACAAGGAAUGUAAGUCAUCUCCUUCUCGUUGGGACACUUUCUAGGCUUGGAGAAGAAAGUAGCACAUUCCAUCUUUGUUCUCUGAUUUGGUUGGCCCAAAAUGCAGUUCUUACUAACAUCAAGUAUCUUUCUAUUAACCAAUUUCUGGCACUCUGGACCGACCACAGUGAAAUAGUUGUCUGCCAAAGACAAGUUCCCCAGGGUAGACAACUUGCACACCAUCUCAGGCACGGGUCCGUAGAACUUGUUCUUGGCUAAGUUUAGAUACACUAUCUUGGCCAAGCAAGCAAACGAGGCUGGUAUUGGGCCUGUUAAGUAGUUGGAACUUACAUCGAACACGGUGGCCUGGUUAAGGUACCCAAUUUCGUAUGGCAGACACCCUGUAAAGCGAAGUAUUAAAUAUCGUUAUCGAACAAAAUAUCUACAUUCAUAUCACGAGAUAUCAAUAAAAUAUUGAUAAUUAAUUGGUGCAUUCUAACUAUCUUUUUCCUACAAAUUAUAUGGAAUUAAUGUAAAAAUUUCUUUCUCUUAAAUUACAAAUGAGACUCUUCAACUCAGAACAUAUUUUAACAUUAAGAAAAGUAAUACCACUAAAUUAAGAGUUAAUUGAUCCGUAUCUAAUUUCUACAACGUUCUUUUCUUUUCUUUUUUUAACAAAAGAAAUAAAGAGACAUAAGAGACUUAGACCGAAGAAAUUAUGAUGAUAUUAUUGUUAGACCACCAUACCUGAAAGCUUGUUCCCAAGGAAGAGAACUUCAUAAAGAGUUUUGGAUGCUUGGCCAAUGCUUCUUGGGAUCGGACCGGUGAAUUUGUUGUUGGCAAAAGUGAAGUAAUGGGCAGGUGAGGAGCCAAGAUUGUCAGGGAUCUGCUUAGUGAAAUUGUUGUUGUUGAGGAAGAGCACAUCAACUCCUAGGUCGAAGACUUGGGCUGGGACAGGACCGGUAAAGAAGUUGAACCGGAGGUCCAAAAAUGUCAAAUUUUUUGCUCUUAAAACUUCGUACGGAAACCUUCCAGUUAGCUUGUUGUUGCUGAGAUCGAGCUCGUAGAAGUAUCGAAGCAUGGCAGGGUUUACCGGGACUGAGCCUGUGAAGUUGUUGGAGUUUGCAUGAUAAAACACCAAGUCUGGUAACUCGUCAAGGAAGCCACGGAGUGGAAGUUUAUUGUUGAAACCUUCGAACAUAGCCCCGUUGAUGUCUAAACCGGAGACUGCUUUCUUCUUGUAGACAGGAUGAACGGCGCAGACAAAGCCCUUGUAGUUGCAAACUUCCGCACCUCGCCAUGUCUUUGCGAAGCCCUUUGGGUCGGACUUGAUUUUGGCUACGAACUUCUUAAUCACAUAGUAGGCAAUUUUAAUUCGGUCGCUGUCGAAGGGGUAGGGGGAAGGUGGUGGCGGUGAAGGCUGUGGUGAUGGAGGCGGCGGUGGUGGCAGCACUGGCUGUGGGCUUGGAGGGGGAGGGGGAGCAGGUGGCGGUGGUGAAUGAUGUGGUGAUGGAGGCGGUGGUGAUGGAGGCGGCGGUGGUGAAGUCUGUGGUGAUGGAGGCGGCGGUGGUGAAGGUUUUGGUGAUGGAGGCGGUGGUGGUGAAGGCUGUGGUGAUGAUGGAGGCGGCGGUGGUGAAGGUUUUGGUGAUGGAGGCGGUGGUGGUGAAGGCUGUGGUGAUGAUGGAGGCGGUGGUGGUGAAGGCUGUGGUGAUGGAGGCGGCGGUGGUGAAGUCUGUGGUGAUGGAGGCGGCGGUGGUGAAGGUUUUGGUGAUGGAGGCGGUGGUGGUGAAGGCUGUGGUGAUGAUGGAGGCGGCGGUGGUGAAGUUUGUGGUGAUGGAGGCGGCGGUGGUGAAGGUUUUGGUGAUGGAGGCGGUGGUGGUGAAGGCUGUGGUGAUGAUGGAGGCGGUGGUGGAAAGGCUGUGGUGAUGGAGGCGGCGGUGGUGAAGGCUGUGGUGAUGGAGGCGGCGGUGAUGGAGUCUGUGGUGAUGGUGGCGGCGGUGGUGAUGGAGGCGGCGGUGGUGAAGGCUGUGGUGAUGGAGGCGGCGGUGGUGAAGGCUGUGGUGAUGGAGGCGACGGUGGUGGAGGCGGCGGUGGGCAUGGAGGGGGAGGGGGAGGAGGACAGUCUUGGUAUUUGGGGGAAGGAACAGGAGGGCUGGCACCUCCUCCUCCACCUAUGAUUAUCUCGAAGGCUUCAACCUUACAAUGGUACAAACAUAAAUGCACCAACAAUGUUGAGAUCAAAAGUGAAGAAAUGAAAGAGAAGGCACCCAUGUCUCUUUGUUUAAGCUCAAGGAGUGAGGAGUGGCUAGAAAUGGUGAGGAGAUAAUAAUUUUGUUUAAGCUCGAGGAGGGAGGAGCAGCUAGAAAUAGUGAGGAGAUAAUAAUGAAUAAUAAUAAUAAAAAAAAUAUAUAUUUAGUAUGCUAAGGAGACUAAGAAGGAAAGACUUGAGAAAGAAUAGUCAAGGGUCAUGCGGGUCAUGGGGAAACAGAUAAAAUUGGCCCCAAAAAUGUUGUCUGAGGCCGAGAGUUGAGCUCUCAUUGUCAGACAGAGACACACUAUUGUUAUACAGUAUUAUUUGUCAUUCACUCUGAUUCCUUGCAUUAUUUUUAUAUUUGCUUUAUAAAGUGUAUUGGUGCCUACCAAUAGUUUUACUAGAUUGGCCUUUACUAAAAAGAUUUAUACAAGUGAUUGGAAUCGAAGGAAAAAUACACCACUUGAAGAUGUGCUACAACUUUGUUUUGAUUGGGAGUCAUUCAUUUCACAUGGGGGUGGAGAUUUCAACUUCUCAUUUCCACACGAGCAAAAAUCCACCUUGACUUCCAAGUCCAUGCCCGAUGCCCUGUGCAAUUUCUUUUAGAGGGUACCAAAAGCACUUUUGGAUUGUUUCAACACAUGACAGACAAGUGUGUGAAUUUUGAUAUUCAAUUUGGUACUCCUAAUAACUAAAAGGAUAAUAUUUGCAUUUCGUACUUAUGGAAUAUAAACUCACUCUAUCACUUGCAAAUAACGUAUAUUCAUCGUAAAAAUUAAAUUGAAAUCACUCAAUUUCUAGCUUCUAUUUGGAGAUCAUUCUUACAAAAAAAAUCAUUUGAAUUAGAUAUUGUUUAGUUAUCUAGAAUAUUUAGGACAUGUUUUGCCCCCACUUGAAAAUAGGGAACUUUAACAAAAAAACCACAUUUUUACACUAAAAGGUCAAUCCUGAUACUAUUCACUUUACCCUUUAUUUUGUCCUUAUCAUUAAAACUCAAAACUUUCAAGUCAUUUUCAUUAAUUCUUCUUUAAAAAUAUAAUAUUAUGAAACCCAAUAUGUCACUUGAAUCAAAGAUAAUUGAUGGGCAACAACUUCUAAUAUAUAGAUUAAAUUAUAGAUGUUGAGUCCGACUGCUUACUAGGAGAAUACAAGUAUAAUUAAUAGUCGUUAGGCUGAGGAGGGAAAUCUAAAUGUCCUUAAUCGACCAAAUAAAUCCCAAUUAUGAAAUAAACGAACCUGUAAAAACUUGACAGGUCCAUCAGUUCAAAACCAAUUUUUGACCAAACUCACGAUAGAGAAACAUGUAACUUCUAAUACAUUUAGGAUGGUGUUACCUACACUCUUUUUUACAUUUAGAAUGGUGUUGUCUCUGUUUUUUUUUCUUUUUUCAGUUUAUUCGAUUUGACAAUUGAAAAUUAAGAGAAUGUGAAAAAAGAAAAAUAAGGUUAGCACCAACCUAUAUUUAGUUUGAAUACAUCUAGUAGAAUUUCUCUUCACUUAAAUCUAGUAGAAUUUCUCUUCACUUGUAAGUAAGAGGUUUUAGGUUCGAUUCCUACCAAAAGCGAAUUUGAACGAUAUUAUUGUUAGUCUAUUAUAAAGCUAAAUUCACUAUUUCUUUUUUAGUGUAAAUAAUAUUGUGUUAAAAAAAAAUUCAAUCAUGAAAUGAUAUUUUUCAUGUUUAUAUUUUACGUGGAAAGGAGCUUCGUACAAUAGGGUAUGCAGUGCCUUUUCCCUUUUUAACUUUGUAGUACAGUGUUUGCUUGGCAAAGUAGCACCUUACUUGGGGCCUCUCUUGCACACAAUACAAAAGCAAAGUUCGACUUCUGCAAAAGAGGAAGUAUAUAAUGUUAUGUUUAAGUGCUUUGCAAAGGAUCGUUAAGGUGCAGUUUUAUUCGGUUCUUAUUUUUUUUCAGUUUUUUUGGGUUCGUUUUCGGUUUUUUUUUUCUUUCAAAAAAAUGAAAAAAUUUGAAGUCUUAAAACAUUGAUGGCAAGUCUUUCCUCUAACUGGGUUAUAAAUCCGCUUUCCAUCACAGCUUCUCAUGCUCCUCUAUGUAAAUAUUUGGCCUAUCACCCUCCUCCAUAGUUAUACCUUUCAUGUAUGAAGCCUCAUCCUUCCUCGACACAUGCACCUCUGCGUAGCUCACUGGUGUCGUAUUCUUCAAUCUGAACCCAUAAACCAAAUCAUGAAAAAAGCAAAAGAAAUCAACUUUAACAAAAUUGAAGUAAAAGUAACUGAGAACCCAAUCCACAUUCUCCAAAAUCAAGUGCCAAAAAGCAUGCACAAUCAGAAACAGCUCCAAACCAACCACAAUCACAAACCUGGUCGAAUAGAUUCAAUCUUUAAACCAAAAACGAGUGUAAUUUUUCAAAAUUUGAGAACCCAUCAAACAUUCAAAACCAGAAACAAUAAAAAAAUCCACCAGAAUCAGAGACCCAUUUGGUUAAAUAUUCUAAUUUCUAAGGGCAAAUAAUGUUCAUAAUCCAAGAAGUUAAUAGAGGGCAUGGAAAGAUUACCUAGAAGAACGACGAGUGGAUCCUAGCGACCGAAUGGAAGGGGGUCCAAACGGCGUUGUACUUCGGCCGGAAUAGCUCUUCGUUAAUCUAGUCGAUUGAAAGUUAGAUUUGAGCUGAAGAGAGAUAUCAACGAUGCCGAGCUUUUACAUUCUUUCGCGGUUUUCUCUGAUUCGAUCUUCUUUGGACUGCUCGUACAGAGACUUGGGGGUUUGGAGAAAGAGAUGAACAAACUAAGAAAGUAGAGCAUGGAGGUGCAAGAAUUCAACGGUGGGAGAGAGAGAGGUAGAGAAGUCAGUUGAAAGAGGAGAUGAAAUGGGAGUAAAUGUGACAGCCCGUCCCGAAGAUAUUUAUUAUUUUAUUAUCAAUGACAUGAAUAUACUAUUUUACCCCCGAUUAUGAGCGUUGUGGUGUGUUAUGUAUGUAAGUGUUGAAAUGGAUGGAAAGGAAAGAAAAUAAAAAGAAGAAGGGAGGUCACGUGUGUGUGUGUGUGCGUGGCUGGUAGAAGAAAAAGAAGAAGAAGAGAUUGGGCAAAGCUGCCUAACCAGAAGAAGAGAGCAGGAGAUCCGGGAGAGAAAGGAGAGAGAGCUGGCGAAUCAGGAGAAGAGAGAAGGAGAUGAUGGCCAACCAGAAAAAGGGAAGGAGGGAAAGGAGAGAGAGAGUGGCGUGGGGGAUCGGCCGGAUCCCCUUGGCCCGUUCUUGACCCGGUUGGCACCCAUACCUAUUUUCAAUGAUUUUCACCCAACUUUCCGGCGAAUUGCUUCAAGAAACCUCAUGGGAAACACUCUAGGACCCUUCGUCUAUCCAUUCCAUCUCAAAUUUGGAGAGUUUUGGCUUUGAAAAUGGAGAAAACCGCAAGAAAAAGGUGCGGCGGCUUUGGCUUCGAAUCAUCCAAUCCCGAAGCAAUUCCUUCCAAUUGUUACCACCCAUAACAUCUUCUUGAGGUCUAGAACAAAGUCCAAGUAGUGGUGGAGGCGUUGGAACAAGUUUGGAGGUCGAAUCGAAGCACACCAAAUUCUAAGGUCCGCACGGAUUUUGGUGAAAUUGAAGUGUUUCCAAGCCAAAUUGGCCUUGGUCACAGGUAUGAAAGUUGUUCUACUCAUUGAGAUUUUCAAAUCUGAAAAUUUUGGUAAUUUUUAGAAAUAGUUGAAUUUUCCGGCGAGCCAGGGCGGCCGACCGCCACCCGUGGCGGCUGGUGCGGCGGCAUGUGGCCUGAGGGCCGCCAAUGCUAUUUUUAGAAUAUAUGUGAUGUCUUGAAUUCAGUUUUGAGAAGUGAAUGACGUAGAUUGAUUGUUAGAGCCAAAAUUCUCUAAGAUACGUUAAUAGGCCAUUGUAUGAAUCGACGAUCCAACUGUCGGAUCGUCACCAAACUUUGAUACGUAGUAGUACGUAAUAUUUAAAGAAUGUAGGAACUUACGGAUUUGGAAUUCGAUGGACGGAUCUUCCCGAAUUGGAUUUGUAAGUUCAUAAAAUAAAAUGUUAACCGCCACUUAGUUUUGGAAAUUGGCGGAGAUCCAACCGUCGGAUCGUAACGAAAUUUUAGUAUGUUGUUCUAGAAGCUUAAUGUGUAUCUUGGGAAGUAACGGAUCAGAAAUCUGAGUUGUGGAUCUUCCAGAUUGAGUUAUUUGGGGUUAUGACCCUACCGUCGAACUUAGUCGACGGUUGACCUUUGAUCAACGGGUCUCGCAUUAUUCUUGAAUGCCCUUGAGGAUAUGUGUUAUGUGAAUUACAUAUUCUAUGGAUAAGAGUUAUGAGAUGUGGUUUGAUAACUGUUUUAGGCACCAAGCGUUCGGGACGCCUUGGUUCUGAUGUUAGGGAGUCGUAGCGCGAAUCCCAGGUGAGUGGGCAGUUAUUUUUAGUAUAUAUAUAUAUAUAUAUAUACACUUGACGUUUUUCCCAGAAAACGUAUUUAAAGGAAAUGCAAUUUAAAUGCCAUGCCAUAAAUGCCAUGCAUAUACAAUUAUGUUUCGUGCAUGAAUUGAUGUGUGAUACCUUAUAUAUAUAUAUAUAUAUAUAAAUGUGGUGUUGUGGUGUUGUGGAGGCACAGGUAAGUUCAGGUAAGUUGUGUUUGGUUAUAUAAAUCAUCGAUGAUGCGAUAUGUGAUUGAGAAGCGAUAGCUCAUAAACUUGCACCCAGGGUGAUUGCGAUUUAGCCAGAGAGAGCAGGCACAUGCCUAUAUAUUAUGUCACCUCCCGCACCAUAUGCUCACAUUGGAUCCCAUUAGGUGCAUAGUCUUGUCGUACAGACCACUGUAAGUGGUUCCGACUUGUAGGUGACUAACGUAUUAUCGCACAGCUAGCAUUGAGAGAGUAGAAUUGAGCAUAAUUAUAUUACACCCAACCUUGUCGCACAUACCCUUUUCAGUGGUUCCGACUUAUGUGCAGUAUAUUGUGUUGGAAGUAUGCCCACAAAGCCACUCAUUUGAUGUAAUAGCUUUUUGGAAUACUUAAUGUAUUAAACUUUUAUAUGUUUAAUGAAGGGCAAAGCUUAUUGUUGAUCACUAUUUAUUGUAUCAUGUGUUUAAGUAAUAAGGGAAUCCAAGGGAUGUAUUUGAUCUAAGAGACAAGUGAUCUAAGUGAGUUAGAUUAUCGAGACCAUUCUCUUAUGUUCAUUCCUAAAACGUUCCUAGCCAUAGGAUUGCCAAUUGGGUAUUGACAAUCCGCUAAGGUUAGUAUGUGUUAUGUCGACUCAAGCUUGAGUAUGACUAGUCUCAAGUCAUUUGGUGUUGGACACUAAGACAAACACAUAGGUGCUCGAAAGAGUAAUCGAGUACACUGAACAACGAUCGAAAGAGAGUUCGAACAUACAUGUCAUGUAAGAACUCGAAAGUUGCAAUAUGCAAAGUAGUCCUUUGACCUGAGGCAUCAUAGAUGUCUAAUGAUUAGGUCCUUGAUCUUUGAUCAUGUCAACGGCAUUCCAUCGGAGUGUCCACGGCAUUGUUGGGGUCAAGCUAUCUAGUCAUGUAGGCAUAUGAAUGCACAACAAGGGAUCUCUAACCUUCCAUGGUGGAAGGAGAAUACUCUAAGAUAUGAUUCGUAAGUCUUUGGCCAAAGCAAAUGAAUAUGACUUAGGAAGUUUGUUCCAAUUCGUAAGUCCCCGGCAACGGCGCCAUUUUCUUGAUAGGGAUUUUUACUACUCAUGUGAAUGCGAUAAAAACCUCCUAUUUUACUUGCAAGAAUCACAAGGUUAUUGUAAUAUAAACGGAUUUCGCAAGGUCAUUCUCCACAGGGAUUAUUAAAUAAUUCAAAACAAACCAGAUUUCAAUUAAUGAUUGUAAUGUAGAAAUUUAGAUGAUUGAUUUUAUAAUCUACUUAAAGUAAAAACGAAUUUAAUGAAUUAAAAUAGAUAAUCUGCAAUAUUAAAGCUAGAGAGAAGAAAACAGUUAUGAAAAAAUCAAAUUGAGAAGGCACUAGGGUUCCACCAUCACCUAGCAAUCCUAUGAAUUUUUACUCAUUACUUAUGAUCUACACAUACCACUUUGAAGGUUAGAUUUUCCUAAUUCAUAUUCUACUUGGAACCUCCAACGUAGAACGUAUAUCUAACAUGCAACCCGUCCGGACGUUCGGAUCAAAUAUGAACAUGAGAGACUCAUUAUGCUUUAUGAAAAUCCUUUGAAAAACCAUGCAAUCCUUAAGACGUGAUAUUCAUCCUAAGAGAAAUUACAAUUAUUAAUCACAAGAAGCCAGCGUCAAUUUCAGGGAACCUUCCGACCAAAAUUGCAUCAAAUUACUUUUCUAAAGAUCCUAAUGGUGAUCAUGCAUUACGACAAUUAGAUAGUUUUUAUCCCGGUGAUUAACAAUUCAAAGUACGCAUGCAAUCGAUCAUAAGCAAUUAAAUAAAAAUCACAUAUUCAUGCUAAGGCUCAAGGCUUCGCCCUAGCAAAAGAAAUUAGUUCCGCAUAUUCAUAAUUGAAAUCAUAGAAAAUAUUCUUAAGAAAAAGAUUGAAAACACCUUCAAGUAGAAAAUCUUCAAAACCCUAGCACUUCUCUCUGUCUCCAAUAUUGCAUAAAAUAAAGCGUAAUCUAAAACUGUAGACGGCCAAGCAAUAUAUAUCUGCUAAGCCACCACACAAACCCUAGCAAACAAAACCCUAAAUUAAAUAAUAAAAUUCGUCUAAAAACUGAACAGCCACGUUUUGGCCCAUAAGCUGCUCCAAAACUGGCUCAAUAUAGCUGGAUUUAAUGUUUGGAAUAUUCUGAACACUUUUCCAGAAGGCCACGAACCCAUCCGAGGUCAUCUUGGGCUCCAAAAACGCAAUUUAAGCCCAAAAACGUCACUUUCCAGCACUGCGCACUGCUUCUUUAUUUCAUCGUCAAAAAAUCACCGCUUGGUGGAAAAAUCCUAAAUUUUGAUACGAUCAAGCUAAGUGACUAACGAACGUCCUCCAACUAGAAUUACUCCAAAAUUCGUCCAUUUGGUCCUGUUUUGCUCCAGAGGAAAUCGAAAGUCCUAUAUUGAAAAUACAAUUCAAAGUAUCAAAAUUCUUCCAAUAUAUUAACCAAAAUAUACUAAGAUUAGGGUAAAAUAUAUAAUAUAAAAUCUACUCAUCAAAUACCCCCAAACUUAGCUUUUUGCUUGUCCUCAAGCAAAACAAGACUCAAACAAAAAAUAAAAACUUAACAAACUAGACAACUAGCUAAAUUUAACUGACAAAAAUUUUCACCUUCAAAGUUGCAAUCCAUAGCAAAUUUUAAAAACUAGAACAUUUUUUCAAAAGUUCCAACCAAUCCCACCACAGAGUCUAAGCCAUUUAGAAUCAAUUAGAAAAGAAUUCACAGACUUCCUUUGGUGUAAAGUGAACCAACAUAGUUAAAGAGACUCGACUAAAAUUCUUACCUCUCGUCCUUAUUUAUUUCACACAUAGUAACUUUAAAUAUAACUCUCUUUCUUUUUCUUUUCUUUUUUUUUUCUUCUUUUUUCAUAUAUAACCUUUUUUUUUUCUUUUUUUUUCAGUAACAGUAGUGGUCGUGCAAUGUCGGUUUACUUAAGCUUUCGAUCCAACCCAUGUAGCGAGCUUUAGGUCAAUGACUCCCAAACCACUAGGGCUUUAGGGCACUGGGUGUAGAACACCCCUAAGGACUUAUUAACCCGAGCUGAAAAGGCUACGAAACCAACUAACCACCCUGCCUCAUGCCAAAACUCUACCGUUUGACGCGAGAAUCACUGCUGAUUAGGCAGGACUGGCCCGGUUACUAGGCAAAACCUCGGGUGAGACAAUUAUUACUUUUUUUUUUCCUAAUAAUUAACUUUACUUAAACAAAAAUUAAAAAUAAACUUAGACUAAAAGCAAGUAUUUCAAUCUCACUCCCCACAAACCAUGUUGGUGUGAUGUGCACAGUUCAAAGUAUAACUCAUGAAUUAGUGUCUAAGCAACGAUAAAUAGAAAAGACUCUAAUGUGGGAUUAAUCUUUACCAUGUCCAUUUGUUCUAACGUUUAAAAUAAUCUAUGGAUAUUAACUUAACAAGAAUGAAAAUUUUUAAACGGACACAAUAAUAAAAAAAAACUAAAAUUUACUUUCCCACCCCCAAACUUAUUUCACAUUUUGUCCUCAAGGUGUGGAAACUAAAAUAAAAAAUGACAAAAAUAAAAUAAACUUAAACGAACAAAAAUAAUUAUAACAAGGAAAAGUAGUAACAAGAACCAAAGAAAAAGAAAAAGACUACCUGGCUUUGGAAGUGACGUUGUGGUUGAUAUAAGUGUGGCCAAAUAAAAGCCACACAAAGCCCAUGCAAUGAAAAUCUCCAACUUGCACGCCACCUUCACUUGCACGCCUGCUGUACACCAUAUUUGAAAUCAGCAGGCCAUCACGUGGCGUCCAUCAGGGCCUGACAAACAUGUGGGGGUUAAAUUCGGAUUCCCCAGGAAAGCUACUGGCAGCUGAGAAUCUGCACCCAAAUAAGCAUAUUUCAAAUGUUCUGGAAGAACCUUUAACUCUAGUUUAGGUGGCUGUACCUUAGAGGGCUGCAAUAACUUCUUGGGUUCCCCCAAACUCUCAAAAACGUGCCUCCAACGUGGGGGUUGAAAAUGAACACUUUCCAAAGCUGAAACAUACUCAAAAACCUCAUCAUCUUCUGUAUUUUUGUUCUCAAACCCAUGCAACACAUUUAACAACGGAUCAGAUGUCAAACGUGGCAUAAUUUCAACCUGUAAUAAGCUGUCAAGCACAUCAACACGCAUACAAUCAUGCACAUCACCCGGUCUUUUGGUAGCUUCAAAUAAACUGAACACAACAGAUCGAUCUUGCACUCUAAGUGUAAGUGUCCCAGCCUCUACAUCAAUUAACGUUCUGGCUGUAGCCAUGAAGGGACGUCCCAAAAUAAUCGGUGUUUGCAUAUCUUCAUCCAUAUCCAAAAUCACAAAAUCUGCAGGAAGAUAGAGAUUAUCCACUUUAAUUAUUAGGUCUUCUAUAAUACCCCUUGGAUAAGCAACUGAUCGGUCCGCUAGUUGUAGAAUAACUGAUGUUGGCAUUAUUUCUCCUUGUCCUAGUCUCUGAAAAACAGAAAAAGGCAUUAAAUUAAUACUAGCACCUAAGUCAAUUAAAGCACGUUUAAAAUGAGAAUUUCCAAUUGUGCAUGAAAUUGUAAAACUCCCUGGAUCUUGUUUCUUUGGGGGCAAUUUGUGAAGCAGAACAGCGCUGCACUGUUCUGUAAGAAUUACUUUCUCAAAAUCAACAAGCUUCUUUUUCUUUGUGCAAACAUCUUUCAAAAACUUGGCAUAAGACGGAAUGUUCUUGAUGGCAUCAAUUAACGGCAGAUUAAUCUGAACCUUAGACAAAGUCUUCAUAAAAUCUGUCACUUGUUGAUCUUUAACUUUAGGCUUCAACCGUUCGGGAUACGGCAUAGGUGGCUCAUAAACACGAUCCUCAACAAUAUCUUCUGCGAUAUUUUCAGAACUGUUAACCGGCUGAUCUGAAUCUUUUGAAUUGGCAUAUUUUUCAAUUUUCCCCGAAUCUGUUUUUGGCUGUGAAUCCACCCGCGAAUUUUGAAUGCAAUUUUCAUCCCUGUUAUCAUAACUUUUUCCGGAACGUAAAACUCUAACUGCCUUGCAAUCUACACCUCCCCUAGGAUUUGGUUCGGUUUGGCUGGGAAAUGUACCUGGUGCCCUACCAGAAACCUGCAAAGCAAUCUGCCCUAUUUGUUUUUCCAUGUUUUUCAUUGAUGCCUGCAGAUUUUGAAUUUCUUGAGUUGUAGUGUUUGCCAAUUUUUCAAUCGCAACCUCCCAAGCAGCCUUAGGUGCAGCAGGUUGUUGUACCUGCUGUUGAAAUUGUGGUCUAGUGUGCUGUUCCUUAUCCCACCUUAGAUUAGGAUGAUCUCUCCAACCCGGGUUGUAGAAAUUAGAAUAUGGGUCAUAUCUGGGCCGCUGGAAAUUGUUAAAUGCAUUAACCUGCUCAGCUGUAAACUCUGGUGAAACAUCUUUAUGUGGGCAGUUCAUAAAAUCGUGAGUUAUCAUGUUGCAAAUGCUGCAGGCAGCUUGUAAAGGCUGCUGUACAGCCACCUGUGAACCUGGCAUUCUCUGUAAUAACAUGUCAAAUUUUGCGUCUAGCCUUUUCUCCAUUUUUUCAAUUUGUGCUGUAACAUAUGGAGAACCAUUUGGCAUCUCAAAAACAGACCUAGAUUGUGGCUGCUCAACUGCCCAUUGUUGAGUAUCUUCUGCCAUUUUUUCAAAUAACAAACAAGCCUCUUGUGCAUUUUUGUCCUUGUACGUACCUCCGCAUGAAGCGUUGACAAGAGUUUUUGUUGUCAUAUUCAACCCUCUGAAAAAUAUGUGCAUUUGAUCAGUAGUGUUAAUACCCGAAUGUGGACAUUUUCUAAUCAACUCUUUGAACCGAUCCCACGCCUCAUGAAACUCUUCAUUUGGUUUUUGGGAGAACGAUAAAAUCUGAGUUCUCAUGUCAAGGGUCUUAAAAGCCGGAUAAUACUUGUUUAAAAAUUUUUCACUGAGUUGGGCCCAAGUUGUAAUGCUUCCAGAUGGGAGUGUGAGGAGCCAUCUCCUUGCUUGAUCUUUUAGAGUGUAUGGAAACAACCGCAGCUUAAUAGAUUCGGCUGAAAAUCCCCUCACCAAAAUGUUUUUGCACCCCAUUAAAAAUUCUGCAAUGUGCAUGUUAGGAUCAUCAGAUGACAACCCAUGAAACGUAGGUAGAAUAUUCAACAUGUGCUGUUUUAUUUCAAAUGCAGUCCCUUCCUCCACUGCCGGAUAUGUGAUGCAACUGGGUAUAUUUGUGGUAUGGGCAGUCAGUGAAUCACCCAGGGGCAGACCUGCCUCUGGAAUUAUAAACGCCAUUUUUUCUUUGUUGUGCAGGUCAAAGUCUGAUUGCAGAAAAGUCUCAUGCAGAGGACGAACCCGUUGCAAAUUUUCCUCCCUGCGUUUCCUCCUUAAAUGCUGCUCAAAUUCUGGAUCAAAUGGAAUCAAUUUCUGCACUGUUGAACGGGUGCUGACCAUGCACAGAUUUCUGAAAUCUGUACUGUUGUAAUCUGUAAAAAUAAAUGAAAACGAAAAUUAAAUAUUUUUUUAUUUUUUAUAUAUGUAUAAACAGCAAUAACUAAUUGAAAAUCUGAUUCGUAGGGAUUAUUUUAAAUAAUCCCCGGCAACGGCGCCAUUUUCUUGAUAGGGAUUUUUACUACUCAUGUGAAUGCGAUAAAAACCUCCUAUUUUACUUGCAAGAAUCACAAGGUUAUUGUAAUAUAAACGGAUUUCGCAAGGUCAUUCUCCACAGGGAUUAUUAAAUAAUUCAAAACAAACCAGAUUUCAAUUAAUGAUUGUAAUGUAGAAAUUUAGAUGAUUGAUUUUAUAAUCUACUUAAAGUAAAAACGAAUUUAAUGAAUUAAAAUAGAUAAUCUGCAAUAUUAAAGCUAGAGAGAAGAAAACAGUUAUGAAAAAAUCAAAUUGAGAAGGCACUAGGGUUCCACCAUCACCUAGCAAUCCUAUGAAUUUUUACUCAUUACUUAUGAUCUACACAUACCACUUUGAAGGUUAGAUUUUCCUAAUUCAUAUUCUACUUGGAACCUCCAACGUAGAACGUAUAUCUAACAUGCAACCCGUCCGGACGUUCGGAUCAAAUAUGAACAUGAGAGACUCAUUAUGCUUUAUGAAAAUCCUUUGAAAAACCAUGCAAUCCUUAAGACGUGAUAUUCAUCCUAAGAGAAAUUACAAUUAUUAAUCACAAGAAGCCAGCGUCAAUUUCAGGGAACCUUCCGACCAAAAUUGCAUCAAAUUACUUUUCUAAAGAUCCUAAUGGUGAUCAUGCAUUACGACAAUUAGAUAGUUUUUAUCCCGGUGAUUAACAAUUCAAAGUACGCAUGCAAUCGAUCAUAAGCAAUUAAAUAAAAAUCACAUAUUCAUGCUAAGGCUCAAGGCUUCGCCCUAGCAAAAGAAAUUAGUUCCGCAUAUUCAUAAUUGAAAUCAUAGAAAAUAUUCUUAAGAAAAAGAUUGAAAACACCUUCAAGUAGAAAAUCUUCAAAACCCUAGCACUUCUCUCUGUCUCCAAUAUUGCAUAAAAUAAAGCGUAAUCUAAAACUGUAGACGGCCAAGCAAUAUAUCUGCUAAGCCACCACACAAACCCUAGCAAACAAAACCCUAAAUGAAAUAAUAAAAUUCGUCUAAAAACUGAACAGCCACGUUUUGGCCCAUAAGCUGCUCCAAAACUGGCCCAAUAUAGCUGGAUUUAAUGUUUGGAAUAUUCUGAACACUUUUCCAGAAGGCCACGAACCCAUCCGAGGUCAUCUUGGGCUCCAAAAACGCAAUUUAAGCCCAAAAACGUCACUUUCCAGCACUGCGCACUGCUUCUUUAUUUCAUCGUCAAAAAAAUCACCGCUUGGUGGAAAAAUCCCAAAUUUGAUACGAUCAAGCUAAGUGAAUAACGAACGUCCUCCAACUGGAAUUACUCCAAAAUUCGUCCAUUUGGUCCUGUUUUGCUCCAGAGGAAGUCGAAAGUCCUAUAUUGAAAAUACAAUUCAAAGUAUCAAAAUUCUUCCAAUAUAUUAACCAAAAUAUACUAAGAUUAGGGUAAAAUAUAUAAUAUAAAAUCUACUCAUCAAACGGCAUUCCAUCGGAGUGUCCACGGCAUUGUUGGGGUCAAGCUAUCUAGUCAUGUAGGCAUAUGAAUGCACAACAAGGGAUCUCUAACCUUCCAUGGUGGAAGGAGAAUACUCUAAGAUAUGAUUCGUAAGUCUUUGGCCAAAGCAAAUGAAUAUGACUUAGGAAGUUUGUUCCAAUUCAUAUUCAAAGGAAUCAUAUAGAAAAGUAUCACAUUGGAUAGUAGACAUGAAACAAACUAUCACUUAAACAAUGUGAUUAAGAGUAUUGUAUUAGAGAAGGACCGUAUUGCAUUGUAGUUGUAACUGGAUAGGUUCUCCAACCAAUUCUACUUAGCUUGGGUAACCAUGACAUACUGCUAGGUGUCACUCAUGGUUUGUGGAAGCCCUACUGACUAGCAAACACUAAUCAUAAAGGGAGAAUUGAAAUGUGGUUUCAAUUCACAAUCGAUCGUUAAGAGUAACAAUCGCCCACUACCUCACUAAUUAGAACCUAAUGGAUCGUACACCGAGUAAGGGCGAUAGUGAAGAAAUUAAAUGAAAUGGAUAUGCAAUUAAAUGGUUUAAUUGAAGAAUGGUUAAGAUUAAUUAAUUAGUUAAUUAAUUAUACGAAAGGUUCGUAUUGGGCUUUUAAGUUGGUUUUGGGUUUCGGGGCCCAAAAGUGUUUUGGUCCAUAAGGCCCAUUAUGUUUAAGUUGUAUGACAACUAAAACAAAAUGGGCAAUAAGCCCAAUCACAACAUAUAGGCCGGCCAUGGUGAGGAGAUGGUGAAAGUUUGCUUAAUUGCAAGUUUGCCACUCACCAAAGAAAAGUGUUAUAAAAGCAACUUUAUAGCUAUUUUCUCAUUAAGGGUUUUCUUUGAGGCAAAGAGGUGAAACAUUUUCUCUCUUUCUCUCUACAAAGAGGCCGGCCACUUAGGGAGAUUAAUCUAGCAAUCUCUUAUUCCCUAAGUCAUCCAUUUCAUCUUCACAUUUAACCCUUGGUGUGGAGACUUAGAGACAUCAAACUUUUGGUGUUUUGGAGAACAAAUCCUCAAAUCCUCAAAGAAGCAAAGGAGCACUAAAAGGAGGAAAAUCACAAGGAAUAUCCAAGGAGCUUGGAGGUGACUUGAAGGCCCUCCACUUGGGUGAAUCCCUUGUGUAAACAAGGAUGAGCUUCAAGGGUAAAGAAAUUCUAAAUCUUUACUUCUCUUUAAUGUUGUUAAAGAGUUUAUUGGUUCACCAUAUACUAGGCUUUGAAAGUCAUGGGUUUUAUGAAUUGUUUUUGAAUGCAUGCCUACUUUAAAGUGUUAAUAGUUUGCAUAUGUAUUCAAAUGUUCUUACUUGUUCUUAGCUAGGACAAAUUUUUUCCUUCAAGUGGUAUCAGAGCCUAGGCCUAGUUUAUGGUGAAUCCUUUUGGGUUUUGUGAUUUUCAUGAUUUAUGAUUUAAAUGUUGUAAAUGUUACAAGCUUUGUUCUUGCUUUUGAAUAUAUAAAUUUUGCUAGAAAAUUUAGCAUCUCAAAUGUUGUAGAUGUACUUCAUUUAAGCAUGAAUAUUGGAACUAAAAUUUGGUGCCAUGAAUAUUGGGAAAUUCGGCCAAAUCCUUAGGGUGAUUUUUUGGGUUCAUGUUUGUCUUGUUAAAAUGGUUGUAAGGUGACUUUUGGAACCCCUAAGUACCCUAGGAUAUUAGCCCUCUUUUGAGUGGUGAAAAAUUGAGUUUUGGUGAGUGAAAACAUUCAUGGAGCUAUUAUGAGUUUUCAUGGUGUUCUUCAAUGUUCUUGAAGUUCUUGCCAAGAACAAAAAAGGUUUGAAGUUGUGAUUCAAAAGUUUUAUGUUUUUUCAUAAAGUUUUGGUUUAAUUUUGAUGGGUGAUAAUUAUUGGUGAAACAUUAAUUUUGGCUUUAAUGUUUGUCAAAACUCUUUAAUGUUUUACAAAACAUUUUCUUACAAACCAUCAAUUUCACCUUUUCCUCACCCACCAAAAUCAACUUGCAUAAAAUCCCUUUCGCACUCUUUCACACUCCAAAAACCGGCCACCCCCUAGUGGGGGUACUUUUGGGGCCUUUUAUGCAAUUACAUAAAGUUUUGAUACUUUUAUGUAUUUGCACUUUGGCCCAAAAAUUUACGUUUUUACAUUAAGGCCUAAAAACUCUAAAGGACGAAUUGUUUUGAUCCUUUAAUGAUGUUUUUACAUUAUUUAAAUUUUGGGAUCUAGUUGUAAUUACAUGAAGUUGUGGACUAUUAUGUUUUUACAAAGUGACCCCAAAAGUUUUUGUAUUUGCAUUAUGGCCCAAUUGUUGUGGUCAUAGUUUCCUUUUGGCCCAAAUAAAAUGAGAACAAAAUUGUUUUGUCUCUUUAAUGAGAAUUGGAUUUUCAUUUCAUUUAGUUCCAUUUAAAUCAAAUCUAUGGAUCCAAAAACCAAUUGUUUAAGUUGCUUUCUUAGUUAAUGUGAUUAAUUAAGAAAAGGGUGAUUAUGAACCAAAGGCCUCGAUAAUUGAGCUAUGUGAUUGGCCGUUUUACAUUAUGAAUGUUUGGGUUUGGUAGUGUAGAUUUGAAUGUAAUUUGAUUAAUUCAAUUUGUUGUAAAUGGACAUAAGUCCAUCAUUUGUGUUGUAAAAGGGCAUAAGCCCUUCUUAUUAUUUCAUGUAUUCCUUUUGUUUAUAUGUAUGCAAAAUGGAAUAGUUGGGUCCAACGCCCAAUAGGAAAUAACGGUUUAAUUGGAUUAAACGCGUAACUAAAAUCAACAACUAUCUACCUUCAACCCAAGGUCCAACACAAGGCUCGUGUUGGAUCAAAUUAAUCGGUUCAUAAUCAUCCUAAAACCUAAUAUGACCAUAUAGUCCAUAUGAGGAUGGAAUGCGUUCGUUAGUAGUUCCAUAUAGUCUCACUUAUUUCUUCGAAAUAGUGGGAGUAUUAUAAACUACUAAAUUCAUAUUAACUUGGACCAAUGGUUAUGAUAGGCCCAAGUUCUUUUAAUAAGAUUAAAAUGGUUUUGAUGUAGCCCAAAACUACUCCCUCGACAAACGAAUAUUAAGUUGAUAAGCGAGAGAUGUUUUGAACAUCUCUUUGUAGGCCUUCCACUGUGGUGGGCUCCAAUCGUUUGUGACUCAUGCACCGGCUUCACCCUAUCAUGGGGGAGUUCAAAGUAUGUGCUUACAUCCAGGAGGAGUCCAUAAACAUAUGAUGAGGUGAGUGUAGGCAACGAGGAUAGCCGACAUCGUAUCAUCGUGAGGCUAUUCUUGAACCCCUUCACAAACUAAGCAUGGUGGGAAUAACUUAAUCUAAGUGCAAUGGAGCCGACAUCGUAUCAUCGUGAGGCAACAUUCUCUAGAGGCCAAACGGAUGGGUAAUUACAAAAGGUUGCAAAUGAAUAAUGCGUUAUUCUCUCAUCAUUAUUUUUGCUAACCAACAUCGUAUCAUCGUGAGGUGGGCUUGGUAAUGGUGAGUCUCCCAUACCCCGCUAAGAGUUCAAUAUAACUCUCGAAUUCUAUUGAGGGAUGUGGAAUUUGCCAAAAAUAGUGGGUGGUACUAUUUGAUUCAAAGACCCAAUCAAAUAGUUUUAAAACAAACAAUCUAAUACGAUUUAUGUUAUGUUAUGUAGUUAAUGACAUGCCUAAAAAUAUACCCACCAUUAUACUUGACAAAAAGGGCCUUAAAGGCCAACGUUUCCUUGCUUGGUAUCGCCACAUUGAGAAUGUCUCAAAGGUGAAAGACAUAUUGUAUGUGCUUAAGCAAUCCCCUCCUCAUGUACCUCCUACGAUGUUGGAAAUGUGCCCUAAAUCCAAUCAUAUGAUGAUACUUUACGGACAUUUCACAUGUUAAACUAAUCUAGUUUAACUAUAAAAGGCAAAGAUUAUUGUUUGAGCCGUCUCAUAUAAAUGUUAUAUGCUUAAACGAUAAAGUCCAAGGAAUAUGUGAUUGGGAGAAUGUAAUCUAAUGAAGUUAGAUUCAUGAGACCAUUCUUUCGUAGACACAUCCUAAAUGUUCCUGAUCAUAGGAUUGCCAAUUGGGCAUUGACAGUCCGUCAAGAUCGGUACGUGCUAUGUCUUCUCUCAGGGAGAGUGACUAGUCUCGAGUCAUUGGUGUGUGUGACAUCAAGACAAGUACGUAAGUGCUCAGUAGAGUAUGAGUUCACUGAACGCGAUCAACGAAGAGUUCUCAUACUCAUGUCACAUGAGAACUCAUGGUUGGGAUAAUGCAAAGUAGUCCUUUGACCUGAGGCAUCACAGUUGUCUUGUGGUUAAGUCCUUGAUCUUUGAUUAUGUCAAACGUCAUUCCAUUGGAGUGUCCACGGCAUCGUUGGGGUUAAGCCACUUAGUCAUGAAGGCAAGUGAAUGCGCAACAAGGGAUCUCUAACCUUCAAACUGUUUGAGGGAGAAUACUCUAUGAUAUGAUUACGAAUCUUUGGCCAAAGUAUGAAUGAGAUUUAGGAAAACGUUCCAAAUCACAUUCAAGGUAAUCAUAUAAGCACACGAAUCACAUUGGAUAGUAGACAUGAAUAAAUAAACUAUCAAACCAAACAAUGUGGUCAAGAGUAUUGUAUUAGAGAAAGACCGUAUUGCAUUUGUGAUCCCAAACUGAAUAGGUUUUCUCUACCUCUUCUGAUUAGCUUGGGUAACCAUGAUAUGCUGCAAGGUGUCACUCAUGGUUUGUGGAAGCCCUAAAUGUGUGUAAUCACUAAAGGGAGAAUUGAAAGUAAGUUUCAAUUCAUAAUCGAUGUAAAAUGGUUUUAAUCGCCCACUGCCUCGCUAAAAGGAACCUAAUGGAUCGCACACCGUGUAAGGAGGAGAUUGAAGAAACAAUGGAGAUGAGUAUGAAUGAUUAAAUGGUUUAAUCAUUUAUUUAUGGCAAGGAUUAAUUAAUAUGUUAAUUAAUCAAACGAAUAAGUUCGUUAAAGACCUCGGGAUAGUUUUGGACCUUAAGGCCCAAUGGGCUUCGAACGUCAAGCCCAUUAACUUAAGUUGUAUGACAACUUAAUGAAUAAUGAUUCACAAAGGCCCAAACAACCCAAAAAUACCCCAAGGCCGGCCAUGAUGUUUAGGGUAGUGAACUUGGACUUAUUUACAAGUUUGCCACUCAAAUGAAUAAAGGUAUAAAUAUGACUUUAUAGCCAAAAUUCAUUAGGGUUUGUUUUGGAGAAAAUUGGUGAGAACUUGUCUCUCCAUUUCUCUCUAAAGAGGCCGGCCACCUUGGGGGUGCAUCUUGCAAUCCCACUACUCCAAGGUCACUCAUUUCUUCUCCAAUCUCUCCUUGGUGAAGAGACUUAGAGGUUCUCAAUUUUGGGAACUUGGAGAAACCUAUUCUUCCAUCCAAAUCCAUAGAUUUAAGAUGCAAGGAAUGAAGGCCCUCUCUUUGGGUGAUUAGCCUUUGCUUAUGCAAAGAGGAAUCUACAAAGGUAUAAAUUUCAACUCACUAUGUUUUGAGUUGAGUUUUGGUUCACCAAUCUACUAGGCUUUGAAUUUCAUGGUUAAUGUUUUGUUUUUAAGUGCAUGCAACCAUGAUUCCGCCUUUAAUUGUUAAUUGCAUGCUUAUUGAUGUUGCUUAAAUGAACAUGUUUUCACAAAAUAAUCCUUCAUACGAAACUAGCUUCAAAGGAGGAGUGUCAAAAAUAUGUUAGACACUAUGAGGAUGACCUACAAGCCAAAUGCUUAAUCCUCACUUCACUUAGUGAGGAGCUUAUGAAGCUACAUAAGCACAUGGAUACUUCUUGUGCCAUGGUUGAAAGUUUGCAUAAGAUGCAUGACAAUGAGACUAGUAAUGUACGAUUCUCAAAUGUUUGUAGUCUAAUGAAUGCCAAAAUGGCAAAGGGGACAUCGGUCCAUAAACAUGGACAAAAGAUGGAAAAGAUAUUUAAAGAUCUUAAAAGUUUAGGAACUUCCAUCGAUGGGAAAAUGGCCCAAGACUUUUUCCUUGCAUCUUUCUCGGAUGAUUUCACUAAGUUUAUUGUAAACUAUAAAGUGAAUAGAUUCGAUCAUGCUUUAAACGAGAUGAUUGACAUGUGCUGUAAAUUUGAAAAAGGUUUCAAAAGGGACAGUGGGAGUGAGAAUGCAAUCACAAGGAAAAGGUUGCAUAAGAAGAAGGCAAAGAAAUCCAAAGGAACAUGCUUUCAUUGUGGAAAGGAUGAACGUUGGAAGAAGAAAUACAGGGUGCGCAUUGCGAGCCUUAUGACACGAACUUUUGAAGAGACUAUUUCUGUCAUAGAGAGUGCUUUUACAGUGAGCUCCAAUUCCUGGAUAUUUGAUUCAGGCGCUAGUCAACAUAUCUGUAAUACGAUGCAGGGACUAGUGGGGAGCAAGUCACUGCGCAAUGGGGAGAUGGUUGUGCGAGUUGGGAACCGCACUAAAAUCUCUGCAAAAGCAAUAGGCACCUACAUUCUUAACCUACCCUCUGGGGAAGUCCUGGAACUUAAAAAUUGUUUAUAUUUACCUUCAUGUAUAAAGAAUUUGAUUUCCAUCUCUAAGCUUUUACGAGAUGGGCACUCAGUAUUGUUUGACAAAAUGAGUUGCACUUUAUACUUGAACGGUCGUAUUAUCUCUCAUGGUAAUAUGAUAGAGGGACUUUUUCACCUAAAGACGAAUAGUGGGAUGCACUGUAUUGCAGGCGGGAAUACCUCAAAACCCAAAAGGGCUAGAGAAGAAGUUAACCAAGAAAAUAUGUGGCAUCUUAAACUUGGACAUGUGAACCUUGAUAAGAUUCACAAGAUGUCGAAAGACGGAUAUAUCCGCCCAUUAGGUAAUGACCAAAUGGGUACUUGUGAAUGUUGCUUGAAAGGGAAGAUGACUAAAUCUCCAUUUACUGGAAAGAGAGAGUGUGCCAUUGAAAUUCUAGGGUUAAUCCACACUGACGUAUGUGGACCUAUGUCUACUACGUCGAGAGGAGGCUUCUCCUACUAUAUCAUAUUCACCGACGAUCACUCUCGGUUUGGCUAUGUGUAUCUUAUGAAGUACAAGUCAGAAUCCUUUGAAAGGUUCAAGGAAUUCAAGAAUGAAGUUGAGAAGCAAACUGGGAAACAGAUAAAGAUCCUAAGAUCGGAUCGAGGGGGUGAAUAUCUGAGUAAUGAGUUCCUAGAUUAUCUCAAAGAGUGUGGAAUAAUAUCAUAGUGGACUCCACCGGGAACUCCACAACUUAAUGGAGUUUCUGAAAGGAGAAAUCGAACCUUGAUGAACAUGGUUCGUUCUAUGAUGAGUUCCGUUGAUCUACCAGUAACAUUCUGGGGAUACGCUCUAUAUACAACAGCUUACUUGCUUAAUAGAGUACCUUCCAAGUCAGUUUCACAAACGCCCUAUGAGAUAUGGCAUGGAAGAAAGCCAAGUUUUAAUCAUGUUAAGAUUUGGGGUUGUGAAGCAUAUGUCAAGAAGCUUGAAGCUACUAAGCUUGAAGCGAGAUCAGUAAGGUGCUAUUUUGUGGGAUAUCCUAGAGAAACUAUGGGAUAUGAGUUCUACCAUCCAGACGACCAGAAAGUCUUUGUCGCCAGAAUGCUAAGUUUCUAGAGGACAAAUUUGUUCUCAAAAGAACUAUAAGCAAAGAGAUGGAAAUUAAUGAGAUUAAUAAUGAACCACAAACAAGCACUCGACAAGUUGACAACCCUGUUCCUGAACCCCUAGCUCCACGUAAAUCUGAACGGGUUAGUAAGCCACCUAAGAGGUAUGGCUUAGACAAUGACUUUGCGGAAUUGCACCUUCUAGGUGACAAUGACACAAAGGAGGACCCUAGGGACUACACUGAAGCAAUGUCCGACAUUGAUUCAAAGAGAUGGCAAGAGGCCAUGAAAUCCGAGAUGGAUUCCAUGUAUCAAAAUUAGGUCUGGACUCUUGUAGACCCUCCAGAAGGUAUUGUACCUGUUGGAAACAAAUGGGUCUUCAAGAGGAAGAUAGGCGUUGAUGGGAACGUGGAGACUUAUAAGGCUAGACUCGUAGCCAAGGGUUACAGGCAAAGAGAAGGGAUUGACUAUGAAGAAACUUUCUCUCCUGUAGCCAUGAUUAAGUCCAUUCGGAUUUUGCUUGCUAUAGCUGCGUACCAUGAUUAUGAGAUAUGGCAAAUGGACGUGAAGACGGCCUUUCUGAACGGCUACCUAGAGAAAGAGCUCUAUAUGACUCAACCAGAAGGUUUCAUGUCCAAGUCUGAAAAGACUAAGGUAUGCAAGCUUCAAAGGUCCAUUUAUGGACUUAAGCAAGCCUCCAGGAGCUGGAACAUUCGUUUCGACACUGAAAUCAAAACGUUUGGUUUUACUCAAAACGAAGACGACAAUUGUGUUUAUCAAAAGGUCGUUGGGGAAGCAGUAGUAUUCCUAGUGUUAUAUGUAGAUGACAUAUUACUAUUCGGGAAUGACACUGCAAUACUUUCUUCUGUAAAAGUGUGGUUGUCCAAAACCUUCCACAUGAAAGAUUUAGGAGAUGCAUUUUAUGUACUUGGGAUAAAGCUCUAUCGUGAUAGAUCCAGAAAAUUAAUUGGAUUAUCCCAAUCUAUGUACAUUGAUAAGGUGCUAAGUAGGUUCCAGAUGGAACAAUCUAAGAAAGGUUUUCUUCCUGUUAGACAUGGAAUUCACUUUUCUAAGUCCAUGGAACCUAAGACUCCUGAAGAGAUACGGCAAAUGAAUAUGAUUCCUUAUGCUUCCGCUAUAGGGAGUUUCAUGUAUGCCAUGAUAUGCACAAGGCCUGAUAUUGCAUAUGCUGUGAGCAUUACUAGUCGAUAUCAAUCUAACCCAGGACCAGAACACUGGGCAGCUGUCAAGACGGUCCUUAAGUACUUAAGAAGAACUAAGGACAUGUUCCUCGUAUAUGGAGGAGCAGCAGAGUUGCGAGUGGAAGCCUAUACAGACGCAGAUUUCCAAUCUGACGUCGAUGAUAGAAGUUCCAACUCCGGAUAUGUAUUCACUCUGAAUGGUAGGGCUGUCAGUUGGAAGAGCAAGAAACAGAGUGUAAUUGCUGAUUCCACAACAGAGGCUGAAUAUGUCGCUGUAGCUGAAUGAAGGGAAAUUUAUGAGUUUCAUGUGGGAUUUCUAGAUGACUAGCAUGCAUAUACAAUUCAACAAUAUAUAUACAUGAGCAACGGAAGCAUGUUAUCAAAUAAAAUCAAAGCUAUAGUCAUGCAAAUCCCCUUCAAGGUUCAUAGGUUUAUAUAUAAUGCAUCAAAACAUUUUAAAGAAUCAAGAACAAAGUCAAGGAAUAGAUCUAUACCUCUUGAUCUUGAUUUUAGACCAAGGAUGGACCACCUCCAAUCUCUUUGCUCCUUGAAAUCCUUGAGCCUAGCUUCCCUCCUUGCCUCCUCCACUUUGAAAGAAUGAGUGCUCCUAGGUUCUCUUCAAGUUUCCAAAGUAGGAAACCUCUAAAGAUCCUCACCCACUAGUGUAAUGAGAAGGAUGAAGGAAUAACCAAAAGGGUGAAAGAUUGUUAGCUCUUUUUCCCUUAAGGUGGCCGGCCCUUGUGAGUAUUUGAGAGAGUUUUCUUUAGCCUCUUUUUAGUUCUAAACACACAAAAAAAAACCCUUAAGAAACAUUUGCUAUAAAGUUCCUUUUAUAGACAAAAGAAACCUAGUCAACAACUUGACUAUUCUUCUCUCCUAAACACCUAAUAUGGCCGGCCCUCUUUGUGUUGUUUGGGCUUUGGGCUUUCAUUUAUUUCAAGUCAUCCAAUGCUUGAAUAAAAGCCCAAUGGGUUUGGGCCCAAUGGGUUUGGGCCCAAUGGACCCAAUUAAACCCGAACGUUUCUUUAAGCCCAAAACGAUCUUUAUCGCUUUUAUGAUUUCUUUAGACUUUUCUAAAUUAAUCACAACACAUAAUUAAUCCAAUUAAUUGUUUCCAUCAUCCAUUAAUUACUCACUACAAUAGUGUAUUGGUGAACAAUCUUUUAGGUUCUAAUUAGCAAGGCAGUGAGGUGAUUGGCACUAAUCCAAUUAAUUCAAUCACUUAGUGAAUUGAAACUUCAUUUCAAUUCACCAUUCUUCUUUGAUGACUACAUUUAAUCAUCUAGAAGAACUCACAAGCUAUGAUUGACAUCUAACCAUAUGUCAUAGCUACCCAAGCUAAUGUAGAAGUUUUAUUCAGAGAACCUAUUCAGUUAGAAUUACAAUGUAAUUCGAUCCUUCUCUAAUACAAUACUCUCAAUCACAUCAUUAGGGUAUGGAUGUAUUAUGUCAAACCCCUAAUGUGAUUAUUCCUUCUUAUAUGAUUCAUUUGAGUCGUAUAGGAACGCAUUCCUUUUAAUACGCUCGAUACUUCGGCCGAAGAUUCCCGAAUCAUAUCUUAGAGCAUUCUUCCUAUCUUAUUGAGGAUUAGAGAUUCCUUGUUGCGCAUACACUUGCCUUCAUGACUAAGUGGCUUAACCCCAAUCAUGCCGUGGACACCCUCGAAUGGGGAGACUUUGACAUAAUCAAAGAUUAAAUACUUAGCCACAAGACAACGACGAUGCCUCAGGUCUAAGGACUACUUACAUUAUUCCAACCAUUAGAGUUACUUGCUUGACAUAUGAGUAGACCUCCAUGCAAGUACUCUCGUUCGAUUGUGUUCAGUGAACUCAUUCCCCUAAUGAGCACCUACAUACUUGUCUUAGUGUCACAACACGAAUGGGAUGAGACUUUCCAUCCUUCCAUUUGAAGCAGACACAGUAUGUACCAGUCUACGCAUUGUCAGUAUCCCUCCGACAAUCCAAUGACUAGGAACCUUUUGGACAUUUGGUUAUGUGAAGAAGGUCUCUGUAAUCUAACAUCAUUAGAUUACUUCUUCAAUCAAUCUAUUGUCCAUGGAUACACUAUUUAGGACAUAUAUCGUUCAUUGAGAUAGUCUUAAUUCGUGUUUUUGCCUUUGAUGUAUAAGAUUCAUCCAUACAUCCAUUCAUUUGUCCUGAAAGAUUUCUUCUAAAGAUUGACUUUCAGGGCAUAUUUCCAACACUGAAGCCGGCAAAGAAGCGUUCUGGAUGAAGAAGUUCAUCACUGAACUUGGAGUGGUUCCAACCAUUACAUCACCAGUAACUUUGUACUGUGAUAAUAGUGGGGCGAUAGCUCAAGCCAAGGAACCCAGGGCUCAUCAAAAGAACAAGCAUUUUGACAGGCGCUUUAAUAUCAUUAGAAGAUAUGCUGCCGAGGGGAAAGUUAACAUCCUCAAAGUUGCCUCAGCCGAUAACGUAGCAGAUCCACUGAUGAAGCGAAUGUCUCAAAUCCAACUUGACCGCCAUAUGGAAAAGAUGGGUAUUAGAUACAUGUGAGGAUGACUUUGAGUGGAAGUGGGAGAUUGUUGGAAUUAUGCCCACAAAGCCACUCAUUUGAUGUAAUAGCUUUUUGGAAUACUUAAUGUAUUAAACUUUUAUAUGUUUAAUGAAGGACAAAGCUUAUUGAUGAUCACUAUUUAUUGUAUCAUGUGUUUAAGUAAUAAGGGAAUCCAAGGGACGUAUUUGAUCUAAGAGACAAGUGAUCUAAGUGAGUUAGAUUAUCGAGACCAUUCUCUUAUGUUCAUUCCUAAAACGUUCCUAGCCAUAGGAUUGCCAAUUGGGUAUUGACAAUCCGCUAAGGUUAGUAUGUGUUAUGUCGACUCAAGCUUGAGUAUGACUAGUCUCAAGUCAUUUGGUGUUGGACACUAAGACAAACACAUAGGUGCUCGAAAGAGUAAUCGAGUACACUGAACAACGAUCGGAAGAGAGUUCGAACAUACAUGUUAUGUAAGAACUCGAAAGUUGCAAUAUGCAAAGUAGUCCUUUGACCUGAGGCAUCAUAGAUGUCUAAUGGUUAGGUCCUUGAUCUUUGAUCAUGUCAACGGCAUUCCAUCGGAGUGUCCACAACAUUGUUGGGGUCAAGCUAUCUAGUCAUGUAGGCAUAUGAAUGCACAACAAGGGAUCUCUAACCUUCCAUGGUGGAAGGAGAAUACUCUAAGAUAUGAUUCGUGAGUCUUUGGCCAAAGCAAAUGAAUAUAACUUUGGAAGUUUGUUCCAAUUCAUAUUCAAAGGAAUCAUAUAGAAAAGUAUCACAUUGGAUAGUAGACAUGAAACAAACUAUCACUUAAACAAUGUGAUUAAGAGUAUUGUAUUAGAGAAGGACCGUAUUGCAUUGUAGUUGUAACUGGAUAGGUUCUCCAACCAAUUCUACUUAGCUUGGGUAACCAUGACAUACUACUAGGUGUCACUCAUGGUUUGUGGAAGCCCUAAUGACUAGCAAACACUGAUCAUAAAGGGAGAAUUGAAAUGUGGUUUCAAUUCACAAUCGAUCGUUAAGAGUAACAAUCGCCCACUACCUCGCUAAUUAGAACCUAAUGGAUCGUACACCGAGUAAGGGCGAUAGUGAAGAAAUUAAAUGAAAUGGAUAUGCAAUUAAAUGGUUUAAUUGAAGAAUGGUCAAGAUUAAUUAAUUAGUUAAUUAAUUAUACGAAAGGUUCGUAUUGGGCUUUUAAGUUGGUUUUGGGUUUCGGGGCCUAAAAGUGUUUUGGUCCAUAAGGCCCAUUAUGUUUAAGUUGUAUGACAACUAAAACAAAAUGGGCAAUAAGCCCAAUCACAACAUAUAGGCCGGCCAUGGUGAGGAGAUGGUGAAAGUUUGCUUAAUUGCAAGUUUGCCACUCACCAAAGAAAAGUGUUAUAAAAGCAACUUUAUAGCUAUUUUCUCAUUAAGGGUUUUCUUUGAGGCAAAGAGGUGAAACAUUUUCUCUCUUUCUCUCUACAAAGAGGCCGACCACUUAGGGAGAUUAAUCUAGCAAUCUCUUCUUCCCUAAGUCAUCCAUUUCAUCUUCACACUUAACCCUUGGUGUGGAGACUUAGAGACAUCAAACUUUUGGUGUUUUGGAGAACAAAUCCUCAAAUCCUCAAAGAAGCAAAGGAGCACUAAAAGGAGGAAAAUCAGAAGGAAUAUCCAAGGAGCUUGGAAGUGACUUGAAGGCCCUCCACUUGGGUGAAUCCCUUGUGUAAACAAGGAUAAGCUUCAAGGGUAAAGAAAUUCUAAAUCUUUACUUCUCUUUAAUGUUGUUAAAGAGUUUAUUGGUUCACCAUAUACUAGGCUUUGAAAGUCAUGGGUUUUAUGAAUUGUUUUUGAAUGCAUGCCUACUUUAAAGUGUUAAUAGUUUGCAUAAGUAUUCAAAUGUUCUUACUUGUUAUUAGCUAGGACAAAUUUUUUCCUUCAUAUUGCCAUAUAGGUCAUAGUAGUGACUCCGGCUAGAUUGAGUUUGAGCUAUGAAUUCAGCUGUACAGACUACCACAAGGGUUCCGGCUAACGUAUUAUAUUUCUAUGAAAUCAUUCUUACCUGAAUUGUUUACUUUGUUAUAUCUUGGCAUGGCAUGCAUAAGUUUAUGAUUAUGUGAAGCAUGAAAUGAUUUGAUACGCGUUCAUAUAUAUAUUUAUGUAUAUGCUUAUAUCUAUUUUCUGGGAAAGUAACCAUAUACUUGUUUUACAGAGAGGGGUUAUUAUAUUUAAAGGAAAAUAAGGUUUUCAUAUAAAUGUGUUUUACUGACCCACUCAACUUUGUUUUUGCCCCUCCAGGUCUUAGAUAGCAGAGUUUGGUGGCCAAGAGGACUCCAACGGUGUUCUGACAGAAUCCGAAAAAGUAGGAUUCACCUUUGGGUGUUGUAUUUUAGCAAUCAUCCUACUCGAUUGCAACUAGAAACUCUUAUUGCUCUGAAAGUGUAUUUAUCCACUUAAACUCUCAUUGGCAUCCUUUCUUAAUUGGGAUUGUUAGUUAAUAGGUUUUAAAUUGUUAGUAUUUCUCUUUCUCUUUAUCGCUUCCGCUUUGCGCUCAUGGCUACGUCACUCUCACGUGACGGCCAGCACGUCUCGACUCCGGUCGGGGUGUGUCAGUAAAUCUCUAGGGUUUUGUGUUUAGAAAUCUUAUAAAGAAUUAAAGAUCCAUAAUCAGUAUAAGUAUUUUACUAAUAUGAUUAUAACAACACAAAGCUUGUUGUCAAGUUGGCUGAAGCAAGCACUCUCAACCUGGAGGUAAGAGGUUUGAAACAGUUGGCCUCUAGAUUUUAAGUAUUUGUUACAAAUUUAUAUAAUUAAUAUAUAUUAAAUAAUUAAAUAAAUAAAUAAAAAUUGGUUCGGUCCAGUCCAAUUUCUGGACCACCAAAACUGAAAUCGAACCAACCUAUUUCGGUUCGGUUUGGUUCACUUAGUUCAGUUCGAUUUUUUUUGGCUUCAGUUCGAUGUUUGACUAGAUUUUUUUUCGGUUUUUGAUUUUUUAAACCCACCCCUAGGUGUAGUGCCAUGAGCAACACGAUUUCUUUUCCAUGUAUGGUUGAUAAUUAUAUGGGUUGUUUAGAUAUAAGCCCAUACAAUCAUAUACCUCGGAUAAAAACCCACCUAUGAAUAAACAUCUAAUAAAAAUCCAAAAUUUAAAUAAAUUGCCACAUAAAAAAAUAAGUAACCUAUUAAUAUAAGUUAUUUACAAUGUAUGCCACAACUUUCUAUAACCGUUCUCAUACAACCAUUAUUAGUCAACCAUUAUGGAUAACGUUUUUAACAUUUCUUUUAUUUGUCAAAUAAUGAAUUAUUAUAAUGCACUACCAUAUGUCCUAACUAUAUGACUUUAGAUAAAUUAUUUUGUGAAUACAAAAACAUAUAUAUAGUAAAAUAAAAUAGAAGAUACAUUUUUUGAAAAGUUAAAUUGCAGGUAAAUUAUAUUCAUAUAUAUAUAUAUAUUAUAUAUAUAUAUAUAUAAAUAUAUAAAUUGUAGAUACACCGUUGUUGUAAAAAAAGGGAAAUUUUUUAAUAUAAAAUUGUAUAGACAUUAUUGUCACAAUAGGUAAAUUAGUUUCAUAUAAAAUUAAAAAGUAGGUAAAUUAUAUUCAUACAAAAAUAAAAUUGUGGAUACGUUAUUGUUAAGUAAGAACAGGUAAAUUUUUAUCCUAAAAUUUGAACAAUAAAUAAAUUAUUUUUGUACAUACAUUAAUUUUUUAAAAAUUAAACAAUAGGUACAUCAUUAGCUUCACAAAUUAUACACAGUAGGCAAGUUAUUUUUGCUAAAACUAAACAAUAAUUAAAUUAUUUUUGAAGAUACAUUAAUGUUGUAAAAUUAAAUAAUGUUGUAGUCCUAUUAGAUUAGGAAUGUGAUUGUGUAAAUCCUAGUGUAUAUAGAAUAUCUUGGAAUAUUCUCCUUUGUAGAUAUUAUCCUAUUAAAGUUGUAAUCCUAUUAGGGUAAGGAUUUAACCUAUCCUACUACUAUAAAUAAAGGCACAAUGGGGUGAUACAACACACACCUCAGAAUUACAUCUCUCUCAUCUCUCUCUCUUGCCGUUGGCCCUCUCCUUCUCUAGUCCUAAAUACAGUUCAGUCAAUUAGGCAUACAACACGUUAUCAGCACGCUAUUUCCAGAAGCUAAGGAACUCAAGGAUCAUAGGAGGAGGCUCUUCUACAUAAUCAAAGGCUUAAUCGUUUUUUGCGAAUGAGGUUCUUUUAAAAUAAAUUAAGAUAUUUGAACGACCUUGAAUGUGACAGCCCGUCCCGCAUUAAUGUUCUCGUAAGUGUAAGGUUAAUGUAUUAUCCUUAAGCGUUUUAAAGACUUAGAACUUUAGGGUUUGUUUAGUGCCUUAAAUUUUUGUUAAAGUUGGACGGUUUGUAUGUUAGUGUUUGAAUUAUUGUAACCUUUGUACUGUGCAUACACGGGUUACACAUUUCUCCCCCUUUUUCAUUGUUCUCCCGGGAUUCCCUCAAUCAUACUCCCUCUUUCCCUCAGUCCUGCUCCCUCAAACUCAUCCUCAUUCUCUCUCUCCCGACAAGCUCUCUCUCACUCCCUCUCCCUUUCUACACUCACGGCAAAACAACAAGACUCUCAAAAAUUUCACAGAUCGAAGAAAAUAAAACCACAAUCGUCUUCGUCUCGACGAUACGAGUCCAACCAUACCUAUUUCAGGUAAGAUCUCUAACGUUUUCACGUCGAAAUCACGAGCACCGAUUUGGGUACUAUUCAUCAACUUUUUAUUGGUUGAUUUUUAGGACUUUUCAAGCUUAUAGGAAGCUUCUUGAGGUCCUUAGGAGGCUCGGGGUAGUUCGUUGGAAGUUUUUGGACGUAAGAACACGGAGAUCGACAAGUUCAAAGUUUGGCCGGAGAUUUCGAGGCUUUUUCCGGCAAAUCCCCAGCGAUUUAGGGGUCAAGGUAGGUAUGAAUGUGUUCGUCUCAUCAAUAUCUUCAUUUUGAUAUAAAGUACUUUGAAAAUGGUGAAGAAAUGAAGAAGUUAUGACGUUUUGAAAAAUACCCAGAAAUUCCGGCAAAACCCCGCCGCCGGCGAAACCAGUCUGGCGACCCAAGGAAGAAGACGACGCGCGUGCGUGGGCCGAGCUGUUGGUGGCGCGUGAGGGCGCGUGCGGUGUCCAAAUCGGGUUCUAAAAAUUGCUACGUGUAGGUCACGGUGGUAUAUUCACAUACCCAAAUUGAGCAAUAUAUGAGAAGUUAUUAGCGAAUGUUGUGUAUGUGCUUUUAAAUGAUGUUUGUAUAAUUAUUCUUUUAUAGGUGAGACUUAUACCGAGGAGGAAAGUAACCAAACUAGGCGUGGGGGUUACGAACCGGCUACUUAUCAGUGAGUGGGCAGUUAUUUUUCAGUAUAUAUAUAUGUAUGCUUGACGUUUUUCCCAGAAAACGUAUUUAAAGGAAAUGUGAUUUAAUUAUCCUGUCAUAUAUGCAUCAUAUUUUAGUAUGUGCAUUAUUAUAAUUAUGCAUAUUGUUGCAUGGUGCUGAGGAGGCCCAGGUAAGCUACAUGUGAGUAUAUUAUGCUAGUAACGAUUAUGAGAUACGAUGUUGGUUAUGAUUGAGAUAUAAUGAAUUAUAUGAUUGAGAUAUGAUUGAGAGCUCAUUCACUUGCACACGUAUAUUAGUGCUCCCGCCCAGAGUUAGGGGCACAGUCUUUCACGUGAUGUUCACCUCCCGCACCGCAUGCUCGCCUUGGAUCCAAGUUAGGUGCACAAUCCUGUCGUAUAGACACUUUUAGUGGGUUCGACUCGUAGGUGACCCACGAUUUAUCGCACAGUCUUCACGUGAUUGUAGCACUAGAGCAUAUUAUGUUAUAUACAGUGAUGAAUUGCAGACCAUGUGAGGUGGUAUUGAAUGUGUGCAAGAUAUACAUAUAUAUACAUGAUGUGAUGAGAUGAUUAUGAGCUAUAUGUGCAGCUGAAGGCUGAGUUGAUUAUAAUGAAAGAGUAUGAACUAUGUUUAUAGCCGAGUGCUGAAUUGAUUAUAUGUUAUUCCAUCAUAUUCACUUAGAGAUAACGAGCAUUCAGUUAUGAUACUUUGGCAUGACAUACAUUCAUAUUGUCUAGCAUGAUUUGAGAUAUAGUACGUAUAUGAAUAUAUACUUUAUUUCUGGGAAACUAUACUUGUUUUACGGCGAGGGGUUAGUAUAUUCAAAGAGAAAAUAAGGUUUUGAAGAAGUUUGUUUUGCUGACCCAGUCAACUUUGUUUUGCGCCCCUCCAGGUUCUAGGUAGCGUUUGUUGUUGGAUCUCGAGGUUUCCAGCUGAAGUUCUGACAAACCAUCACUCAUGUAGGAUUAUCUUCGAGUGUUGUAAAUUAGUACAUCUUAUGUUCGACUGCACUUAGACCUUGUGCUCUGGUUGUGUAUUCACACUUAAACUUAUCUUAUAACCUAUGGUAUUUGGUUUUAAAUUAUUCGUACUUUCCUUAAAAUAUCGCUUCCGCACUGCGCACAUGGCUACGUCACGCUCACGUGACGGCCAGCAUGCCUUGACUUUGGUCAGGGUGUGUCAGUUUGGUAUCAGAGCCCUAGGUUGCAGUCCUGCAUAUUUUGUGAACUUCCUUAAUUAUUUUUGGUAUCUUCUGUCAGAACUAUGCCGCCUCAUAGAGAUCCACGUACUUCUUCUGAGCCUGGUUUUCCCGAUAUCACUCAGUUAGGGGAAGCCAUAGCCAAUGCCAUUCAAGCUUCACUUCGCCCUUUUCAGAAAACUCCUUUAGAGGCAGUGUACAAUUUGAAAUUACCUACUUUUAUGGGUAAUGAAGGACAUGAAGGGGCCGAGCGAUGGCUUGAGCAUGUAGAGAAGACUUUUCGGGUUAUGCAGAGUCAAGGCAAUCUCCUUGCUGAAAGGUGGGUUGAGACUACCACUUGGUUUUUGGGUAAAGAGACUGCAUCUUGGUGGGAACAAGAAUCUCGUGGAUGGUUGCCUGAAGAGGUAGCAAAUUGGAAGAAUUUUAAGGAUUCGUUCUAUAAGAUGUUUAUUCCUCCAGCCUAUCUUGACCGAAAGAAGCAGGAAUUCAUCAGUUUGAAGCAAAGAAAGAUGUAUGCUAAUGAGUACUAUCGGAAAUUUACCGAUUUGUCUCGAUAUGAUUCUGAAAUUGCUGCUAAUCCUGUUGAGAUGCUCAGACGUUUCAAGAGGGGUACUAAAAAGAAGUGGCGUUCCAUGGCUACUAUUGCAAGCUGUACCACUUAUCAGGAGUUUUAUGAGGUUCUGUUGAACAUUGAGGAUUCAGAAAAUUUACCCAGUGACAGUGAAGAAGAAGAAAAAGAUAAGAAUCAAAAGAGAAAUGAUAAGGGUAAAGGUCAGUUUUCUCAAGAACCUAAGAAAGCACAAAGUUUCAAAAGAAGUGGUAUGGGCUCGAGUUCUUCUAGUGGAGGUUUUGGUUUCUCAGAUCAAAGGCGUGGAGGUAGAUUUUAUGGAGGCCCUAAAUUCCAGAGACAGAGAGGUUUUGGUGGUUCUGGAGGUUCAACUGCUCCUCUUUGCCGUAGGUGCAAUAAUCGACACUUUGGAGAAUGUCGUCGAGGUAGCAGUGGGUGUUAUACUUGUGGUCAGAUGGGGCAUAUGGCUAAGUACUGUCCCCAAAGCCAGUAGAGACCUCAACAACCUUUCAUACCACAGCCAGCUCCGACUCAACAGCCUUUUGUGUUUUGCUGCACACGCACGACACCUAGCCUUCAGCCUAGUAGGGUUUUUUAUAGGCAUGCAACCUCAACCCACUUCCAAGGGGCCUGCAACUCUCAAUAAACUUGUCCAAUGCGUCUCUGGCCUACAGACCAAUAACCUUAUGUUCUUGGGCCUCGUCCCUUGCCCUAGGCUCAUUUCCAGCAAGCCUGCGUUGCUUGCUAGGCUUUGCCAACCCUCAGCCUAACCUGCCAACAACUUUAGAGCUGCUGAGCUUAUACUGUUGUAGACAUGAAAAUUUUUUUACAUACAAAUAAUGCAUCACAAAGCUUCACGCGGUGUAUGACUCAUCACAAAUGAACAAGUCAUCAAUGACAUUUGGCACAAAUUAAGCAAAGGAAGUACAAAACCUUCCUAAAAGUCGGCUAAAGGGAGAAAAUCCCUUUCAAAAUCGGCAAGGGGUCCAAGUUGCUCCCAAAAUCAGAAAGAAAGUUAAAGCAUCUUCAUAAAACAAGCAAGAAUUGAAGAUUGUUCACAAAAUAGGUAGUAAGCCCUAUAAUUCGGCCAAGGUAAGGGAAAGUGGCUGAAAUUAAGACACAAAACAUGCCUAAAUUCUCCCAUGGACGAAUCAAGACACAAAUCAAAGCCAAAUCCAUCCAAGGGCAAGCUUUAAGAAGUCUAUAAAUACAAGGUCCUUAGACAAGUAAAAAGGUCGGCAAUUUUCUACAUUGAAGGGGUCAACAAUUUCUACAUUCAAGGUGGACCAUUUCUACAUUCAAGGGGGAUCAUUUCUACAUUGACGGGCCGAAAUUCUCACAAAAGGAGAACCUCUGCCAAAUCUUUGAAGACUAAUACGUUGCCAAAGCUCUAUUCGAAGAACGCACAACCAAAGCCGAAGCACUCCAUUGAAGAAUCAACAAGAACUCGUGCUGAUUCCUUCAAGACUUUAUUGCAAGCUCAAAACUUGUAAUGAUGUUCGAUUCAAGAUCAAGUUGCCAAGACCCUUGAAUCAACAAAAUCCUACAUCAACACUACCUUUGCUACAACUUUAAGGUGAAGACCAUCCAAGCAUCGUUUCAAGCUCAAAACUUGAAGCAAUUUUUCAAUCGUUUGUCCGAGAUCAAGUCAUCAUGACCCUUGGAUCAAUGAUAGACGCAUAUUUAUGCGACUUAGUUAACUAGUUUUCUUGCAUUUACGUUAUUAGUUCUUAGUUAUUUUAGUACUUUAAGCCAUUUUCGUGUGUUUGUAGGUCCAAAGGGUUAAGGUAGCAAGAAAGUGCAUUUUGGUGCAUUUUGGAGCAGUUUUGAGCUUGGAAUGGAUUACUUAUGAUAUGAGCAAGAUGGAUGGACGAAUUUGAAGAAAAAAAGAGGCUAGGAACAUGCUAAAAAUCUGGUGAAUCAAAUACAAGUUGCAAGAAGGGAUAAAUUUCUAGAAGGAUUGGCCAAAACUUCACUCAAAACCAUGCAUACCCCAUAAAAUUCAUCAAUGCCGUGGCCUUCCCUUUGUUUUACUUCCACCAGAUUUUUUAGUGAUGAUGCAAUGCCUAUCUCACUAUGACAUUUGAGUGGAUGAUGCAAUGCUUAACUCACCAUGACAUGUGAGUGGAUGACUCAAAACCUACCCUCACCAACAAUUCUCCACCUUGCCAUGCCUUACCUACUUCAUUCCACCAGAUUUUUGCAUUAAACAUGUCCAUCCUCUUCCUAUAAAUACCAUGGCAGCAACCUCAUUCAAAUCAUCCAGAAAUUAACCAUUCUCCAAGCCUUUCCUUGCCUCUCCUACAUAUCUAAACCCCUUCCCAUCCAUUCCUCCAAAUAACCAACCCUUCAACAUCAUUCCAACCUUGUUGUUGCGGCAAGGAGUAGGAGAAAAGUCCUUGGACGCACUUGCUAUCCAACAUGGAUCGUUGGAACGUUUAGGUGCUUUCUUCCCUUUUGUUUUUCAAUGUUUAAAUUUGUUUAUCUUUGUUUUGUAAUAAUGAGGAACUAAACCCCCCUUGGCUAGGGGGGGAUUCGAAAUACAUGUUUAUGCUUGCGUUAUGAUUUGAUUACUUCUAAUUGCGUUUCAUAAGUUGUGAAUUCAAUUUACUUAUCUAUGUGAAUUACAUUGAUUUGUGUGUGUUGGUUGAGAGUGCACGCUUAAUUAUCAUGCAUAAAUUGAAUGCUAGGAUAUAAGGAAAUUUCACCUAAUCGUUAUGGAAUUAUAUUCACAAGUAGUAAAGGUUGAUGAUCUCAAUCGCGUUAAGUAAAUUCUUGGCAUAAGUUUCAUGCAAUCAUAGUAACAAGUGCUUCGUUAAUGCUUAUGGUUUUCAUAGAAUUUAAUGAUUCUUGCUUGUAUCUCUAUUAUGCAAUCAUGUAGGGGACUUGUGGUGAAUGUUUUGGGUUGUCGUAUGCAAUCAUCCAAUUCAAUAACGUUAGGAAAAUCUGAAGGUUAAUUUAAGCGGACCUAAUUAACUUGGGGCGUUGAGAAUUCAUGGUUUAUUGAAAUGCAAUUGGAAAUCGUUUUGUAUGCAAGUAUAACAUGUGUGGAGAUGAAACCCUUAGCUAGCCUUCCAUUAUCCAUUCAACCCAAAAUUGUUUAAAAUCUAUUUAAGUUUUUAGUUUAUUCGUUUUUACUUUCAACUUCACCAAACUCAAAUCCCCCUUUUACUUUCUUGUUUUAAAAUCUUUUGUUUACAUUUUUAACUUUGUUUCUUUUUGUUUUUGAGUCAGUUUAGAGGUUUUAGCAAGCCCUCCUAAUCCCCGGUUUAGAACGAUCCCUACUUACAUACUUUGCUACAAUUGUCAAAAGAGGGUUUAAUUUGUGUGCUUAUAUUAUUCGCAUCAAAUUUUGGCGCCGUUGCCGGGGAUUAGCAACUUUGCUAAAUCCCCAUUGUUUCUUUUUAUUUCUUUUUUUGUGUGUUUUAAUUUUAGUUUUAAUUUUAUUUUGUUUAUUUCAGGUACUAGUUUAUGACUCGUAGUUCUCAACCAGUUCAUGCACAUAUAUCGGAGUUUGACGGCAAUUUUGAACGAACUUUGAGAAGGAAAAGGAAAGUACCAGAACCUAGCCCACCUAGUUCUAGUUCUGAAUCCGAAUUUGAAGAAAAGGAGGAGGUAGAAAAAGACAUGGAGGUGGACAAUCGAACAAUCAAAGAACUUUCAGCCUCGGGAUUGGACAAUGCUGCGCCUCUAUGUAUCCAAUACCCCGCAGCAGCCCGAGGAAAGACAGAAGAAUUUGAAUUGAAGUCAAGCUUGUUACACCACAUUCCGAAGUACCAUGGGUUGUCCAUGGAAGAUCCUAACAAACACUUGAAAGAAUUCGAGGUGGUGUGUUCGAGCAUGACCCCCGUAAAUGUCAAUGGGAGUAUUUUGAAGAUGAAAGCCUUCCCUUUUUCUCUCUUGGAAAAGACGAAGGAUUGGUUGUACGAAUUGGCGCCCGGAACCGUCACAUCAUGGGAAAGCAUGAAACGGGCCUUCUUGGAGAAAAUUUUCCCAACUUCUUGAGUCAUCCUCCUACGGAAAAGGAUAAGUGGAAUUCAACAAGAGGAAGGUGAAUCUUUUCCUACUUAUUAUGAACGUUUUAAAUCUCUUGUUGCUUCUUGUCCACAGCAUCAGAUGAAGGAGGAACUUCUUUUGCAAUACUUCUACGAGGGGCUACUACCUAUCGAACGUCAAAUGCUAGAUGCCUCGGCGGGAGGAGCCUUGGUGGACAAGACCCCCACGGCAGCAAAGACUUUAAUUUCCAACCGUGCGUUGAAUGCUCAACAAUACGAAGGCGUUGGACAAAGGAGUAACCCACGACCACAUCAAGUCAAUGAGGUAAGUGCCAUAACCGAACUUCAAAAUCAAAUGGCUAACCUUACUACUUUGCUUUCUCAGGUAGUGGAAGGUCCAAAAGUGCAAAACGUGGCAGCUUGUGGCGUGUGUUCCAUGCAAGGCCACCUUACGGACAAGUGCCCACAGUUGAUAGAAAAUGGAGGGUGGGAGACCCUCAAUACCGUGGGAUUUGGCAACCAAUACCAACCAAGGAAUGACCCCUUUUUCCAAUACUUACAAUCCCGGUUGGCGUGAUCAUCCCAAAUUUCAAAUGGCGAGAACCCUAACAAGGCCAACAACAAAGCGGAUUUAGGCAACAACCCCCGGGUUUAUCAAAAAAAGCCGUUUGCAACCACCAACUCAACCCCAAGCACACAACCUGCCCAAAAAUCAGGUUCGUCUAUUGAUAAUGAUCAAAUUUUUAAUUUACUAACUUCUAUGGCGCAGGGAAUGCAAAAUAGGGACAAAAAGGUGGACGAGUUGGAGAAACAAGUAGGGCAAAUUGCCGAGUUUGUUGGGCAGUUUAGAGAACAAGGCAAGCUUCCUAGUUCAACCAUUGCGAAUCCAAAAGGAGGCUUUGAAACCGUCAAUGCAAUCAUGUUGAGAAGUGGUACACAGGUUGGAGCCAAACCAAAAUCAUCCAAAUCAAGUCACGAUGAGGAUGAAAAGUUGCUACAAGAGGAAGCACAGGGACCAAAACUCACAGCCAAGGAUGAACAAUCCUUGCCACCACCAUCUAGCCCUCCUAAGCCGUCCCAAACCACCAAGGUAAGUCCAAAUUCGACUUUUUCUAGUUUCCAUUCCACUAAAUGUGCCCUUUCCUGGCAGGUCCUGGCAGGUCAAAAGGCAAUCAAAGAGGAGGAAGAAAGUUCUAGAGACCUUUCGGAAAGUUCAAGUCAAUAUUCCCGCUCCUUGAUGCAAAUUAAGCAAGUCCCGAGGUAUGCUCAGUUUUUAAAAAGAACUUUGUACAUCAAGGAGAAGGAUUUCGAACAAAGAGGUGGUCCAAGUAAGUGAGAAUGUUUCUGCCAUGUUACAAAGGAAAUUACCCCCUAAAUGCAAAGAUCCGGGUAGUUUUACAAUUCCGUGCGUUAUUGGCAAGACUAAGUUUGAACAAUGCAUGUUAGACUUAGGGGCUUCGAUUAAUGUUAUAUGCCAUACUCUAUUUAUGCAUCUAUGAACUUAGGUGAGCUUAAAAACGAUGGUGUGAUUAUUCAAUUAGCCGAUCGUUCUAAUGCAUAUCCAAAGGGUGUUUUGGAAGAUGUGUUGGUGCAGGUGGGCAAUUUGAUUUUUCCAGCGGACUUUUACGUGCUUGACAUGGAGGAUUCACCCUAUUCUACCCCAUUGCCGAUACUAUUAGGGCGGCCCUUCAUGAAGACAGCCCAAACCAAGAUUGAUGUGGCUAAGGGAGAGUUAACAAUGGAGUUUGGUGAUGAAUUGAUUAAAUUCAAAGUUCCUGAAUAUGUUAAGAAUCCUCAUGAUGUUCAUUCUUGUUUUGCAAUAGAUGUGAUUAAAUAUGUGGGGAAGGAACAUUCAUGCGCACCAAUCAAGAAGGAUGUCCCUAGAUGCAUCAUCGAAGAGGGUAUUGGAGUGGAGCAUACAAAACAUGUCAUUACACCCAAAAUACCAAAUCUGGCCGAGAGCACCACCUUUGCUGCCCCUUUUGAGUCUUCAUCUACAUUCAUUGGUAAGCCUCCUCCUCUAAUUCCAAUUCCCAUUUCCACUAAAAGGUUAUUGCCUUCUAUGGUGCAGGUACCAAAUCGAAUCCAUGAUUAUGGGAGUUUUUACUUUGACCUUGGGAAGCUCAAUGCCACAAUCUGGGACCAUCAUUAUCCACUGCCAUACAUAGACCCAAUGCAUGAGUAUUUCAAGGAGCAUGUCAUGGAGGAUGUACCCCUCCAUGCCGUGGCACCUAGUCAAGCUUAAACGGAGGUACCGUCCGGCUGGAAGACGUUAAAGAAAGCGCUUCGUGGGAGGCAACCCAUGCAUUCGACAAAGGAAGGCCUAGAGAGCACUCCAAUUCUAGAUUUGCGUUCCUAAACCUUUCUCUUUGUUGUUUAAUUAGUUUCUGCCAUAUUUAGUUUGUUAGUGUUUGUUUGUUUGUUUAUGUGUUUUUGUGUUAGUUAUGCUUUGAAACAUUGAGGACAAUGUUUGGUUUAAGUGUGGGGGGGGUAACUAAAGUGUUUUGAUGCAAAAUCGUAGGGUUUUCUCACUCAUACUUCCCAAUGUUGUUUCUUGCUGUUUUUAGGUGUUUUCAGGCUGUUUUGGUGUGUUUUAGUGUGUGCUGACUUAUAACUCCGAAAAUCACAUAAAAAUUUGAAAAAUUGCUUUGCAAAACCCAAAAAGAGUUGUUUUUGUGUGUUUUUGUGUCUUAGGGUACCUUCCAACACAAUGAUGAGGAUUCGGUUUGUAAUUGCAUAACUGUUGAAGUAAGUUACAAACAUGGAUGAAAGUUUGACAUGCUCUUUGGUUUAUGCUUAGUUGUAAUUAUAGUUCAUGAAUUCACAUGUAGUCAAAAGAAAAAUUAGUUUUUGUAACAUGCUUGAAGAAAGAAACUCAAACUAACGCUACAACCCUGAGAGACUUGAGCUUUUAACGUUCUUUGGAGAGUUAAUAAUCUGUGCAUUUGUUGUCUUCUAAAGUCGUUGCAUGAUCUCAUUAUUCUUUGAUUGGUUACUACUUAGAAGGCGUUUUAUCAUGUAGUUCCAAAUGCUAGAACUCAUGCCCAUUUCAUUCAAAGCAUGCUAUUGAUCUGCAUAACACAUAUUCAAGAUGAAGUUGUGUAGUGACCACCACCAAAGCCAAAUUGUCGUGUAUCCUAUUUCAUUAUGUGUGUUUAAGUUUAACUCCAUUGAACCUUGUUUAGCCUUUUCUUUGUUAACCCACAUCAUCCUCACCUAGCCUAGAUUAGGAUUAUCCAUACCCUCGUUCUUAAAGUAUAGUAAGCAUGAUUCAAAUUGAAUUCCUUUUGAUUAAUGUGGGCAGAAAAUAAGUGUGGGGGAAGUGUUUAUCAUGUGAGUUUGUGUGCCAUAGGCACGAGUAAAAAAAAAAAAAAAAAAAAAAAAAAAAAAAAGAAAAAAAAGAGUUCCAAAAUAUUGUUUGUUGAAAUAAGGGUCCAAAACAAUGAAUUCGGCCCUAAGAAGUUGUUUAAAUCUUCCCCUUCUGUUUUAAAGUUAAUUUCUGCAAUCUAAGUGAAUUCUAAGUCUCAAUUUUACUACUUUGCUUACUAAUGCUUGAAGAACGUUUGUUUUCCCUAUCCUUUCUUUGUUAACCAUUCCCCAAGCCCCGUUACAACCCUUAACUUCUAUCUUGAGUGUUAUGUAUUUCAAUAUGUGGAGUUUGGGAUUGGUUUGAGCAUAUGGUGUCCCUGGUUCUCGCAUCUAAGUAGUAGCGUUCCAUUCAUGAGAUCAUAUCUAUAAAUGCUUAAUCAUUCCAGAAAAGUGCUUCUUUUAUAACAUGUGUGAGUGUUCGUUUCCAUGUUUACAUCAAUCUUCUCACAUAUACUUAGUAUAGGGAGUGUAGUUAGAAAUCUAUGUGAAAAUAAGAGUGUAUCCAGUAAGGAAUUGAGUGGAUUCUCUAAGGCAUGUUACCACGUCCAUAAUGUUGUUUUAAACGAUUAAAUGUGAGCUAGUGAAUGGUAACUAUGAUUAAGUAUAUGCUCAAGAGUAGGGAUGACUAAAAUAUGUGGGAAUAAUGAUCUUUGGCAUGUUAUGUAUCGUUGGAAAUCCCUAUAGCAAAUGUUGGAAGGUUAGGUUAUGUUUUGUUUGUUUUAUUUUGCUCGAGGACUAGCAAAAGCUAAGUGUGGGGGAAUUUGAUAGACGCAUAUUUAUGCGACUUAGUUAACUAGUUUUCUUGCAUUUACGUUAUUAGUUCUUAGUUAUUUUAGUACUUUAAGCCAUUUUCGUGUGUUUGUAGGUCCAAAGGGUUAAGGUAGCAAGAAAGUGCAUUUUGGUGCAUUUUGGAGCAGUUUUGAGCUUGGAAUGGAUUACUUAUGAUAUGAGCAAGAUGGAUGGACGAAUUUGAAGAAAAAAAGAGGAUAGGAACAUGCUAAAAAUCUGGUGAAACAAAUACAAGUUGCAAGAAGGGAUAAAUUUCUAGAAGGAUUGGCCAAAACUUCACUCAAAACCAUGCAUACCCCAUAAAAUUCAUCAAUGCCGUGGCCUUCCCUUUGUUUUACUUCCACCAGAUUUUUUAGUGAUGAUGCAAUGCCUAUCUCACUAUGACAUUUGAGUGGAUGAUGUAAUGCUUAACUCACCAUGACAUUUGAGUGGAUGAUGCAAUGCUUAACUCACCAUGACAUAUGAGUGGAUGACUCAAAACCUACCCUCACCAACAAUUCUCCACCUUGCCAUGCCUUACCUACUUCAUUCCACCAGAUUUUUGCAUUAAACAUGUCCAUCCUCUUCCUAUAAAUACCAUGGCAGCAACCUCAUUCAAAUCAUCCAGAAAUUAACCAUUCUCCAAGCCUUUCCUUGCCUCUCCUACAUAUCUAAACCCCUUCCCAUCCAUUCCUCCAAAUAACCAACCCUUCAACAUCAUUCCAACCUUGUUGUUGCGGCAAGGAGUAGGAGAAAAGUCCUUGGACGCACUUGCUAUCCAACAUGGAUCGUUGGAACGUUUAGGUGCUUUCUUCCCUUUGUUUUUCAAUGUUUAAAUUUGUUUAUCUUUGUUUUGUAAUAAUGAGGAACUAAACCCCCCUUGGCUAGGGGGGGAUUCGAAAUACAUGUUUAUGCUUGCGUUAUGAUUUGAUUACUUCUAAUUGGGUUUCAUAAGUUGUGAAUUCAAUUUACUUAUCUAUGUGAAUUACAUUGAUUUGUGUGUGUUGGUUGAGAGUGCACGCUUAAUUAUCAUGCAUAAAUUGAAUGCUAGGAUAUAAGGAAAUUUCACCUAAUCGUUAUGGAAUUAUAUUCACAAGUAGUAAAGGUUGAUGAUCUCAAUCGCGUUAAGUAAAUUCUUGGCAUAAGUUUCAUGCAAUCAUAGUAACAAGUGCUUCGUUAAUGCUUAUGGUUUUCAUAGAAUUUAAUGAUUCUUGCUUGUAUCUCUAUUAUGCAAUCAUGUAGGGGACUUGUGGGGAAUGUUUUGGGUUGUCGUAUGCAAUCAUCCAAUUCAAUAACGUUAGGAAAAUCUGAAGGUUAAUUUAAGCGGACCUAAUUAACUUGGGGCGUUGAGAAUUCAUGGUUUAUUGAAAUGCAAUUGGAAAAUCGUUUUGUAUGCAAGUAUAACAUGUGUGGAGAUGAAACCCUUAGCUAGCCUUCCAUUAUCCAUUCAACCCAAAAUUGUUUAAAAUCUAUUUAAGUUUUUAGUUUAUUCGUUUUUACUUUCAACUUCACCAAACUCAAAUCUCCCUUUUACUUUCUUGUUUUAAAAUCUUUUGUUUACAUUUUUAACUUUGUUUCUUUUUGUUUUUGAGUCAGUUUAGAGGUUUUAGCAAGCCCUCCUAAUCCCCGGUUUAGAACGAUCCCUACUUACAUACUUUGCUACAAUUGUCAAAAGAGGGUUUAAUUUGGUGCCCCACUCCAUCUCUAAAUUGCCGGCCAUAGGGAUUCAUUGGACUAUUUGGGCCUUUGUGAAUCAUUAUUCAUUAAGUUGUCAUACAACUUAAGUCAAUGGACUUGACGUUCGAAGCCCAUUGGGCCUUAAGGUCCAAAACUAUCCCGAGGUCUUUAACGAACUUAUUCGUUUGAUUAAUUAACAUAUUAAUUAAUCCUUGCCAUAAAUAAUUAAACCAUUUAAUUAUUCUUACUCAUCUCCGUUGUUUCUUUAAUCUCUACCUUACACGGUGUACGAUCCAUUAGGUUCCUUUUUAGCGAGGCAGUGGGCGAUUAAAACUCUUUCAAAUCGAUUGUGAAUUGAAACUUACUUUCAAUUCUCCCUUUAGUGUUUAUACACGUUUAGGGCUUCCACAAACCAAGAGUGACACCUAGUAGCAUAUCAUGGUUACCCAAGCUAAUCAGAAGAGGUGGAGAACCUAUUCAGUUUAGGAUUACAAAUGCAAUACGGUCUUUCUCUAAUACAAUACUCUUGACCACAUUGUUUGGUUUGAUAGUUUAUUCAUGUCUACUAUCCAAUGUGAUUCGUGUGCUUAUAUGAUUACCUUGAAUGUGAUUUGGAACGACUUCCUAAAUCUCAUUCAUACUUUGGCCAAAGAUUCUUAAUCAUAUCAUAGAGUAUUCUCCCUCAAACGGUUUGAAGGUUAGAGAUCCCUUCUUGCGCAUUCACUUGCCUCCAUGGCUAAGUGGCUUAACCCCAACGAUGCCGUGGACACCCUCGAAUGGAGUGACUUUGACACAAUCAAAGAUCAAGGACUUAACCACAAGACAACUAUGAUGCCUCAGGUCAAAGGACUACUUUGCAUUAUUCCAACCAUGAGUUCUCAUGUGACAUGAGUAUGAGAACUCCUCGUUGAUCGUGUUCAGUGACUCAUUCGCUAAUGAGCACCUACAUGCUUGUCUUGAUGUCACACACACCAAUGACUCGAGACUAGUCACUCUCCCUGAGAGAAGACACAGCACGUACUGAUCUUAAUGGACUGUCAAUGCCCAAUUAGCAAUCCUAUGAUCAGGAACGUUUAUGAUAUGUAUACGAAAGAGAAUGGUCUCAUUAAUCUAACUUGUUUAAAUCAUAUUCUCCUGAUUACAUAUUCCUUGGACUUAUCGUUUAAGCAUAUAACAUUUAUAUGAGACGGCUUAAACAAUAAUCUUUGCCCUUGAUAUUAAACUAGAUUAGUUUAACAUGUGAAAUGUCUACAACACUUGCCGCACUGUAAACAUGCUAGAGUUGACGAGUACGAAAUAGUUGUAGGAUGAACCUAUUGUUAACUACAUCAAUAUGUGGCGUUCAUUAAGUUUGGAUUGCAAAGAUCGGUUUUUUGAAACCUUAGCCAUUGAGAUGUGUUUUCAAGGCAUGCAUUGGGUGUUACAUUACAUCCUCCAAGGCAUAAAACUUAGAACAUUUGAGGAGCUGGUAACCUGUUCCCACGACAUAGAGUUGAGUAUCACCAAUCAUAGGAAGAAGAAGCCGAUCACCGACUUCAAGAAGGAUAAGUUGUUUGCCCCAAAGGUAGAGAAGACUGGGAAGAAGCCCACCAAGGAAGCUUUUACCAUCAAUACUAUCGUCAUCAAGACCUCAUCCAUGCCCUUCAAGAUCUUCUCCAAAAACAAAACAAAGGAGAUGAAUAGAGGUGAGCCUUCUCGCACCCAAGACAGUUACAAAAACACCUUGAGGGAACUUGAGCAGAAGACGUACCCUUUUCUUGACUCUAACGUGGCUGCAAUGCUAGACGACCUGUUGAAGAAAAAGGUAAUUGAGUUACCUAAAUGCAAGUGCCCCAAAAAGAUGAAUCACAUUAACAAUCCUAGGUACUGCAAGUAUCAUCGUAUCGUGAGUCAUCCUGUUGGCAAGUGGUUCAUACUUAAGAAGCUCAUCAUGAAGCUAGCACAACAAGGGAAAAUCGGGCUUGACCUGGAAGACACGGCCGCAAUACAUAUUACUACAAUCGUGUUUGGAUCCUUCGAUCCCAUGGCUUUCCAAGUGACACAUGACUACUCCCGUCUAUGCUCAAACUACACGACAUCUUCUGCACAACCAUUGUUGGAGGCAAGCGACCAAAAUGCACCUACCAACGAUGAAUAAGCGUGGACACUGGUGACCUACAAAAAGAAUAAGGAAGCCAAGACCACAAGCCACAAGGUCAAGGUGGAACAAGGGAGAAAGCACCGCCACCGUAACAGUAGGAAACUCAAAAGAAACAUAAGAGCUACUAACCCAACGUACGCUGGGGAACAUAUGGAGCAAGCGCCAUGCAUUCUUGUCUCCUUGCACGAGUACUUCUUGAAGGACUUCUUCCAACAGUGCACUACCGUGGCCUAUCACAUGGUUGAAGUGGAGAUAGAAGAGCCCUCAAAAGGUAAAGCUAUUGCUGUCAAGGAAGAGAAGACCUUUAUGCCUAAAUGAUAAGCUCAUAUUUAUAUAUAUUUUACAUAAAAUUCACUUGUCUUUUCGUAGUUAGUUCCUUAUAUUUUUGAGCUAUUUACUAUGUUUUUGUGUUUUGUGUGAUUUAUCAAGCAAAGAAAAGAAAAGUAGCACAAGUGAGUUAUUAAGUAACAAAUUCGUCAAAACUGCCUGUGCAGAUUAGCUGACUUUGGAAGAAUGUUACGAACAGCUCAGAAUGAAUGAGAGAAUGAGUCUUAUAUUUUUGGAAAGCUACGGAUGUCUAUUUUCUGGAGCAAUUUACGGAUUGUUAAUAUCAUUCUUCUAGAAGAAGUUAUGGGCAUUGUAACACUGAAAGGUUCAAAAAAGGGCUAAGCAGAUUUGGCUAAUAAAGUGAGAAAGUAAAGGCACUUGUUUUGUGUUUUGCUUUGUCAUCAACACUCAGCAGCAUAUAGGGUUAUGAUUGCACUCAUUUGGUUUUGGAGCAAGUGGAAAUGCACAGCUAGAAGAUGAACAAGGCACAUGGAAGAAACAUGGACAACACACACACAAAGAGAAAGGGAUGGCAUGGACAGUUUGACAUGGGCAGAAAAUGGGUGGAUUGUUGGCUGAAAUAAUGAAGAAUAUGUGUGUGCAAAUGCAAAGGAAAAACACACACACAUGGGUAAAGGAAACACACACACAUGGGCAAAGGAAAAACACACACAUGGGCAGAAAAUGGGUUGAUUUGUGGCUGAAAUGAUGGAGGUCAUGUGUGUGCAAAUGUAAAGGGAAACAUGGACAUCACACACCCAUACAAACUGCACAUGCAAGGAAUUGAAUCCUCUCCUUAGCCUAUAAAUACAUCCACCAUUCCCCUUCCUAGAGACAAUCUUGAUCCAUCAAAAGAGCUUCAUUCACAAACACAAUUUCCUUGUAGUGACCCCCAUCCAUUCAUCUAGCCAUACUACAUCUCACCGAUCCAUACACUUUCAUCUCUUAGCCGUGUAAAUCCAUUCCAUCCAUUCAUCUAGCCAUACUACAUCUCACCAAUCCAUACACUUUCAGCUCUUAGCUGUGCAAAUCCAUUCCAUCCAUAUAUCCAUACACAUCCUAGACACUUGUGCUACAACAAGGUGGUGAAAACAAAGGUCCUUGGCGUUUCAAGCUUGGAACUUUGGAGUGGUUUAGGUGUACUUCGUUCUUGCUUUCAAUGUCUACUUUGUUAUUUUCUAAUUUUGUUGCAAUUAUGAGUGGCUAAACCCCUAUUUAGUUAGGGGGAAGUUUGAAGCCAUGAACAUGCUUGAGAUUUGAAUUGAUUUCUUCCAAUUGUGAUUUGAUAAGUUGUGAUUGCAAUUUAAUUAUCUAUUUUAUUCAUAACUGAUUCUUGUAUGUUUAUUAAGGAUGCAUACUUAGUUUUCAUGCAUGAAUUAGAUGCUAGAAUAUAAAUGAGUUUCACCUAAUCGUUACAAGUUUAUAUUCAUGAGCAGUGAAGGUUGUUUAUCACAAUCGCGUUAAUUGAAUUCUUGGCAAUUGUAUCAUGCAUUCAUAGUUAUAAUUACCUCGUCAACACUUAUGAUUUUCAUUGAACGUAAUGAUCUCUGAUUGUAUCUCUAUUAUGCAUUCAUAUAGGGGACUUUUAGAGAAUGAUUUGGGUUGUCACAUGCAUUCAUCCAAUUCAAUGAGUAAAGGAAAAUCUGAGGGUUAAUUUGUGCAUCACGGUUAAUCUAGGGUGUUGAGCAUCAUAGUUUAUUGAAAAGCAAUUGGAAAUUAAUUCAUAUACAAGUGUGUCAUGUGUGAAGAACGGACCUCUAACUAAUCCAUCCAUCAUCUUAUUUCUUAAAUUCGUUUUACAAUCUGCCUAGUUUUAUAACUUGUUUGUUUGUUUCAAAUUCAUCAAAACUAAAAUCCCCCUUUUACUUUCUUGUUUCAAAGUGUUUAAAAUCUGUUUUGUUUGUGUUUUAGAGUGUUUUGAGUCAAGUCAAAACCCAAAUUUUGUCCAAAGUUGUGUUAGAGUCAGAAACUGCCUAGUUUGUGUUUUUAGGUAGUUUUAAGUGUCUUUAAGUUAUUUUGAGUCUUGUGAACCUGUUUUGAGUUCUUUAAGUCUAUUCAAAUGUUUUUAACUUUGUUUUUAUGUUUUUGAGUUAGUUUAGAGGUUUUAGCAAGCCCUCAUAAUCCCCGGUUUAGAACGAUCCCUACUUGCAUUAUUACUACAAUUUGACAACAAGAGGGUUUAAUUUGAGUGCUUAACUAUCAUCGCAUCACUAAAGAAGGCUUGCCAACAUAUUUUAGCAUCAAGGAAGCAUUACUAAUGUCCAAGAUGAUGCGAAAAGCACUAGUAGCGGUCUUGGCGAGUCUCGACGACCAUAAAGUGCAAAAAAGCAAGGACGAAGGCUUGAAACUUCGGCCACAUGAGUAUGCUAUAUGUUGUGCCGCCCAUGACGCAAUCAACUUCACUGAUAAAGAUUUGUUGCUAGGAUCAAAGCCUCACAACCGUCCUCUCUUCGUCUCUGGGUACAUAAGGGAGCAUAAAGUCAACUGUAUGCUUGUGGAUGGUGGAUCGACCAGAAAGAUCAUGCCAAAGUCAACAAUGACCACAAUCGGUAUCAAGUUGGAUAACUAUCCUAAAGCCGCCUUCUAAUCCAAGGUUUUAACCAAGGAGGACAAAAAGCAAUGGGCAAGAUCUGAGUAGAGAUGACCAUUGGUGAAUUUAAAUCAAGCACGCUAUUCUAUGUGAUUGAUGCGAGGCAACACCAAGCCAUUCACCAAAGUCGAAUCACACUUCGCAGACGCCGAGUUUUAUAUGGAUGAAGACAUGGUGCCUAAAGCUCUUCCAAAAGAAAUCAAAUCCAUAGUCAAAGCCACACCUAAGAAACAAAAAUGGCAAGCUGUGCCCAAGAAACAAGAAGGGGAAGUUGUGCCAUCUUCAAGCAAAAACAACGAUGAGUCUGCUAAGCCCAUAACAACCAAAGAGAGUGUGACACCCUCAAAAGGACCAAACAUACCCGUCUUCCAAUACAUCCCAGUAUUAAGAAGAAAGAAAGGCAAUCCCUAUUCGAAACUGGAACAAGCAAAAUUGACACAUAGCUAUACAAGGACGAUGUAAAGCUUCUCAAGACAAAUGAAGUUUUUCUCCUGACACAGUUGGGCAACACUAAAGUUUCAAAACCACUAUAAGGCUUUGUAAAACCCUGCCAAAGGGGGCAAAAUCAAGCUCUCUUCUAACCAAGAGGACCAAAAAAGGUUUCGACCCAAACGCCUACAAACUCAUGUCAAAGGCUGGGUUCGAUUUCUCUUCCACUUUAAAUCUUAGAAAGAAGAAUGCAAACACCAUCAACGACAACAAACAUGACCUCACCGAGAUGCAAAAGAAGUUGAAGGAGCAUGCUUACGGAUUUGACAGCAACAAAGUUCAACUUAGCUCCACAUCAAAUACACCCGUGAAAAUUUUAAGAAAAGAAAAAAACACUAGCGCUCAACACAUCAGCGUAAGCGUUAAAACAAGAUCAAGAGGAGCCUAAACCCGCCCCUCGAACAUCAGUCUUUGAUAGGUUGAAUCGUUCAAAGCCCAAAAUCCCAGCACUUGAUCGCAUCGGUGAUCAAUAUCGAACUUCUGUCUUCAAACGGCUUAACACGCCAACACCUCAAAGAUCUGUGUUCGAAAGGUUGUCAAAACCUAAGAAGCAAAGCGACACGGCUAGCACUCCUCCAUAAUGGUCGGCCUUGGAAAGACUUGACGAAACCAAGAAGCCUUCUAGGAAGAGGAAGACAACGCCAAAAGAAGAAAAGCUUGAUGGUCUAGUAGCAAAUGACGACUUUCGAAGCUCAAUUGUAACCUUGGAAGUUGACACAAAAUGACAAGUAAAGGUAAAGAGGCGCACGAUCAUCUAUGUUGGCCAAUCUUCACCCCAACAAGUCCAAGAGGACGACAUUGAAGAGGAGGUCCAAGACGACUUCUACAUCACAAUCUAAGAAGACAAAGAAGACGAAAUCCUCGAGAAAGACGUCACCGCUGCGCCACCACAACCCGAGGACCGUGGGGGCAAGUCACGGUUGAUGAUCUCAAGGAGCUUAAGUUAGGCACAAGCGAGAAUCCGAAGCCUAUCUUCGUAAGUGCACUACUAAGUGCAGACGAGAUCGAGGCCAACUACUCUUGGAGUAUAAAGAUGUCUUUGGUUGGACUUACAAGGAAAUGCCCGGCCUUGACCCUACCAUCGUCAUGCAUCAUCUUGCAGUCAAACCAGGGACGCGACCGAUAAAGCAAACUCAAAGACGCUAUCAAUCCAAGCUCAUUCCACAAAUUGAGGCCGAGAUUGACAAGUGUUGGAAAUGUGCCCUAAAACCAAUCAUAUGAUGAUACUUUACGGACAUUUCACAUGUUAAACUAAUCUAGUUUAAUAUCAAGGGCAUAGAUUAUUGUUUUAAGCCGUCUCAUAUAAAUGUUAUAUGCUUAAACGAUAAGUCCAAGGAAUAUGUGAUUGGGAGAAUACGAUCUAAAGAAGUUAGAUUCAUGAGACCAUUCUUUCGUAGACACAUCCUAAACGUUCCUGAUCAUAGGAUUGCCAAUUGGGCAUUGACAGUCCGUUAAGAUCAGUACGUGCUGUGUCUUCUCUCAGGGAGAGUGACUAGUCUCGAGUCAUUGGUGUGUGUGACAUCAAGACAAGUACGUAGGUGCUCAAUAGAGAAUGAGUUCACUGAACACGAUCAACGAAGAGUUCUCAUAUUCAUGUCACAUGAGAACUCAUGGUUGGGAUAAUGCAAAGUAGUCCUUUGACCUGAGGCAUCACAGUUGUCUUGUGGUUAAGUCCUUGAUCUUUGAUUAUGUCAAAGUCACCCCAUCUGCAGGGUGUCCACGGCAUCGUUGGGGUUAAGCCACUUAGCCAUGGAGGCAAGUGAAUGCGCAACAAGGGAUCUCUAACCUUCAAACCGUUUGAGGGAGAAUACUCUAUGAUAUGAUUAAGAAUCUCUGGCCAGAGUAUGAAUGAGAUUUAGGAAGGCGUUCCAAAUCACAUUCAAGGUAAUCAUAUAAGCACACGAAUCACAUUGGAUAGUAGACAUGAAUAAACUAUCAAACCAAACAAUGUGGUCAAGAGUAUUGUAUUAGAGAAAGACCGUAUUGCAUUUGUAAUCCUAAACUGAAUAGGUUUCUCCACCUCUUCUGAUUAGCUUGGGUAACCAUGAUAUGCUGCUAGGUGUCACUCAUGGUUUGUGGAAGCCCUAAACGUGUAUAAUCACUAAAGGGAGAAUUGAAAGUAAGUUUCAAUUCACAAUCGAUUUGAAAGAGUUUUUAAUCGCCCACUGCCUCGCUAAAAGGAACCUAAUGGAUCGUACACCGUGUAAGGUGGAGAUUGAAGAAACAACGGAGAUGAGUAAGAAUAAUUAAAUGGUUUAAUUAUUUAUGGCAAGGAUUAAUUAAUAUGUUAAUUAAUCAAACGAAUAAGUUCGUUAAAGACCUCGGGAUAGUUUUGGACCUUAAGGCCCAAUGGGCUUCGAACGUCAAGUCCAUUGACUUAAGUUGUAUGACAAUUUAAUGAAUAAAGAUUCACAAAAGGCCCAAAAGCCCAAAAUCCCUAAUGUGGCCGGCCAUAUGUGUUGAAUUAGGGUUUUUUGGUUCUUUAGGUCAUUUAUAGAAGUGACUAUAUAAAGGACUUUAUAGCCUAAAAUUCAUUAAGGGUUUCUUUUGGAGAAAAUUGGUGAGAACUUGUCUCUCCUUUUCUCUCUCUAAAGAGGCCGGCCCCCUUGGAGGGUGGAUCUAGCAAUCCCACUACUCCAAGGUCACUCAUUUCUUCUCCAAUCUCUCUUUGGUGUGGAGACUUAGAGGUUCUCAAUUUUGGGAACUUGGAGAAACCUUUUCAUUCCAUCCAAAAUCCAUAGAGAUUUAAGAUGCAAGGAAUGAAGGCCCUCUCCUUUGGGUGAUUAGCCUUUGCUUAUGCAAAGAGGAAUCUACAAAGGUAUAUAAUUUCUCAACUCACUUUGUUUUGAGUUGAUUCUUGGUUCACCAAUCUACUAGGCUUUGAAUUUCAUGGGUAAUGUUUUGUUUUUUUGAAUGCAUGCAAGCAUGAUUCCGCCUUUUAAUUGUUAAUUGCAUGCUAUAGAUGUUGCUUCAAAUGAACAUGUUUUCACAAAAUCAUCCUUCAAGUGGUAUCAGAGCCUAGGUCUAGUAGUUGGUGAAUCCUUUUGGGUUUUGUAGUUCAUAGUUUUGAUUUAAAAGUUGUAAUAUGUUACAAGCUUUAUUCUUGUUUCUUUGAAUGUAAAUUUUGUUAGAAAAUUUGCCAUCUCAAAUGUUGUAGAUGUAGUUCAUAUGAGCAUGAAUAUUGGAGCUAAAAUUUGGUGCCAUGUUUUUGGGAAUUUUCGGCCAAAUACAUAGGGUGAUUUUUUGGGUUCUUGUUUGACUUGUUAAAAGUGUUUUCAAGUGACUUUUGGAACCCCUAUGUACCCUAGUUUGGUUAUAUGUUAUUUCCCUAAAGUUUGAAUGGUUUUGAGAUGUUUUUGGGUGAAAAAUGUUCAUGGAAAAUUUUGAGUUUUUCAUGAAUGUUCUUCAUUGUUCUUGACAUUUUUGCCAAGAACAAAAAGUUUUGUGUUUUGAUUCAAAGUUUUGAUUUAUUUCAUAAAGUUUAUGUUUUAUGAUUUUCAAAUGUUUAAAUGUUUUAGAUGUUUGUUUAAAUGGUGUAAGAGAUAUUGGUGGGUGUGUAAGGAUUAAUUUCCUUUCACACACACCACUUGCACCACUUGAUUGCUUUAUGUCAAAACUCACAAAUCAACACACACUUCACUCCAUUUCUUCUUCCAAAACCGGCCACCCCUAAUGUGGGGUACUUUUGGGGCCUUUUAUGCAAUUACAUAAAGUUUUGAUACUUUUGUGUAUUUGCACUUUGGCCCAAAAGUUUACGUUUUUACGUUUAGGUCCAAAAACGCUAAAGGACAAAUUGUUUUGCUCCUUUAAUGAAGUUUUUUUACAUUGUUUAAAUUUUGGGUUCUAGUUGUAAUUACAUGAAGUAGUGGACUUUUUGUGUUUUACAAAGUGACCCCAAAAGUUUAUGUUUUGCAAUAUUGCCCAAAGGUUGUGGUAAUUGCAUUUUGGCCCAAAUUAGGUUGAGAACAAAAUUGUUUUGUCUCUUUAAAUGAGAAUUGGAUUUUCAUUUCAUUUAGCUCCAUUUAAAUCAAUUUUAUGGAUACAAAAACCAAAUGAAAAUGUUGCAUUCAAUUUAAUUAGUUAAAGUGUUAAUUAAUUAAAGGGUGAUUAUGAACCUAAGCCUAAUAUAAUUGAGCUAUGUGAAAGGCCGUUUCAAAUUUGUUUGAACCAUGGGAAUGUGUAGAUUAGAUUUUGGUUGUAAUUUGAUUUGAUCAAAUGUUGUAAAAGGGCAUAAGCUCUUCUUUACUUUAAGGUAAUUUGUUUUAUGCAAAUGUUGUAAUGAGCAUAAGCUCACCUUUACUUUGAAGUACUUCUUUCUUGCAUUUAAUUUGAUAUGCAUGAAAAUGAAGUAGUUGGGUCCAACGCCCCUAAGACAACACGCCUUAAUGUGAUUAAACGCGUAACUAAAAUCAAUCACCAUCCCUAGACCGAGAUUCAACACAAGGCUCGUGUUGAAUCUAAACAAAGGUUCAUAGUCAUCCUAAGGCCCUAAGGCAACUAUAUAGUCCAUCAAAUGAAUGCAAAGUUUAUGUUAGUAGUAUCAUAUACUCUUGCUUUAAAAACCGUUUUAUAAGCAUAGUGGGAGUAUUAUAUACAACUAAAACAAUCAUAAUGGACCAAUAGUUGUAAUAGGACCAAAAUUGUUUUAAUAAAGAUUAAAAUGAAUAUUUAUAUGUGUGAUGAGACCUAAAACCCUCAACCAAACCAUUAUUAAGUUGAUAAGCGUGAGAGUGCUUUGAACACUCUUUCGUGGCCUUCCACCGUGGUGGGCUUCCAAUCGUUUGUGACUCAUACACCGUAUUCGUCCAGCCUCAUGGGGUUGCAAAGUAUGUGCUUACAUUCAGGAGAAGCCUAUACACAUAUGAUGAAGUGAAAGGUAGGCAACGAGUGUGGUCAAUAUGAUAUUCUUCUGAGGCCAUUCUUGAACCCCUACUUGAACUAGCAUGGUGGGAAUGACUUAACUAAGUGCAAUGUGCCAAUAUGAUAUUCUUCUGAGGCAUCAUUCUCUAGAGGCCAAACUAGAUGGGUACUUGCAAGAGAUUGCAAAUGAGUAAGCGUACUCUCUCAUUAUUAUUAACGCUAGCCAAUAUGAUUUUCAUUCUGAGGUGGGCUUGGUAGUAGUGAGUCUCCCAUACCCUACUAAGAGUUUCCUCCAAAACUCUCGAAUUCCAAUGAGGGAUAUGGAAUUUGCCAAAAAUAGUGGGUGGUGCUAUUUGAUUUAAAGACCCGGAAUCAAAUGGCUUAAAAUCAAUCAAUUUAUAUUCGUUAUGUAUUUGUUUACCAAUAUAUUUGCAAACGCUAUCCAACACUUGACAAAUAAAAGCCGAAAGCUUUAGUUUCCGGACUUGGUACUACAAAACCAUAGAUUGUCUUUAAUGGCUUGUAAAUGUACCUAAGUAGUCUCAUCCUCACAAUCUUCCUAUUGAUAAUGUAUCAUUAGAAGAAUAUGUUAGAAAAGUCUAUCAUAAGAGGACAACACUUUUAAUGUCAUAAUUCUUCAAUUACAAAUUGUUGUAUGAAGAAAUAAGAGUUGCUUUGAACAACCCUUAAUCAAUGCAAAACAUUAGUGCUUGUUUCUUUUGUUACAUGAACAAGGAACUUUAGAAGAAAGCACAAGGGCAUGGACACUUUAUGUGCCAUGAUUCUUCACUUACAAAUUGUUGUAUGAAGAAAUGAGAGUUGCCUUGAACAACUCUUGAAAGUUUGUAAUUAUGUUUAGAACAUAAUGGUUGGUUGACAAAAAUAGUCCAUCAACAUGGACUUAUGAUGAUUUUGAAUCAUUGAGUGUUGAAGUGUUAAAUCACUUAACGAGACGGAAACUAGGCAAGGACUUCACCUUUGUUUCCCUAUCCUAAUGGUUCACUAAGUUUAUUGUAAACUAUGUAGUGAACAAUAACCACAUGCUCUCCAAAAUUUUUGAUGUGUAUAAACACAAUUGAAAUAAGUUUCAAGAGAGAUAGUGGGAGUUUAGGGACCAUGACUAUUGUAGUCAAAGGAGAAGUCAAAUAAAGAAGAUAAAAAUUAACUCCAAGGGAACAAACUUUCUUUAUGAAAGGAUGGACAUUGGAAGGGGUAUUUGCAAGAAAUGUCUUGCAAGUGUCAAGAACACACCUUUCGAAGGUGUUGUAAAUUGUUCUUGAAUAGUUCAAAACAGUUGGUUCUUCUACUUGAAUGCUUGAUUCCGUAUUAGUAACUAUGUUUUACAAUCGUUGUAAAAGUGUGACUAAUAAGAAGUAGAAGAUAUAUGAGAGAAGAAAAGGUGCUUCACAUUCGGAACGUGAAUAAAAUAUAGAUCUCUGCGAAAGCAGAUAGUACUUACUUCCUCAUAUGAACUACCAAAGAAAUUGGAAAAACCAAAGAUUGUCUUUACAUUCCAAUUUUAAGGAACUUAAUUCCGUCACUAUAGUAGAGAUGGAUGAAUGUUUUGUUUGACAAAACAUUGUUCUUUAUUAAUCAAUGAUUGGAUUAUAGUAAUCUAAUUGAUUGUCUCUAUAGUAGAGAUGAUAUGGUAGUGUUAACUGUUUAGAAUAUAAUGAUGCUUAAAACCCAAAAGGUUGCAAGGUAGUGACUAAUCCCAACCGAGUUGUGAUACCUCUAAAACAUAAGUUAUGAGUUGGUGAAAAAUGGAUGCUUUGGAUUGUUAGAUCCGGAUCCAAUACCUUCUUAUUAAAAUUGUAUAGAGGCGAAAUGUUUGAAUCUUUAUUCUUUUGGAAAGAAGAAAGAAUCACAAAGUUGUUGAGGUUAAUUCACUUAGAUGUUAGUGGCACUUGUCCACAACAUAAUACUACUCAUGUUGUAUGACAUUCACCGAAGAUCACUCUCGGUUGGACUAUAGUUUAUUUUGAAUAAACACAAGUCCGAAUACUUUGCAAAAGGUUUCAAAGAAUUCAAGAAAUGUAAGUUAAUGAGUAAGACGUCUAAAGUAUUUACCUCCUUAGAUUUGAUCCAAGGAAAAGUAACACUUUAGAUGAGUUUCCUUGAAAGAUAUCAAGGAAAGAAGCAUCAUAAGAUAAUGAAUUUCUCCAUUAGGAGAAGAACGAACUUGAAUAAGAUUUAGUUCGUUAGAUGUUAUCUAUUACCCAUAUAUAUAGGAUAUAUACUUCUAAAAACAAUAUGAUUGUAAAUUAGAAGAUCUUUCCAAAUUUUCAUGACUCCAUAAGAUGUAGUUGGAAAGAAAGACAAAUCUUAAGCAGCAUGUUAAGAUUUGGGGUUGUGUGCUAAUUAGCAAUAUUUGUUUGAUAACAAUCUUGUGGGAUAUCCUUAAAUUAACUUUUGGAUAUCGCUUCUAUAAACCAACUAACAAAUGUUGUUUUGUUGGGUAGUUCAUUGUAAUCCUACAAUGUGAUUUGCCUAAGAGCUAAUGAACGAGAGAUAGAACUCAAAGGAUGGGUUCUUUGAGAGACAAGAAAGUAAUCAACAAAUAUAACAACCUAGUUCCUAUACCAAAGGCUCCAAGGUAGUCGAGAAGGAUUUAUAAAACGUCUCAGUUGAAUGGUUUGAACUUUAUGACUAUGUCAUAGAGUUACACCUCUUAAUUCGAAAGAAAUAAGAAUGAAAAUCCUUAUGACUACAUUGAGUGUAUAUAUGAUAUAUACUCAAGGAAAUGGUAAAGUACCAUUUGACCCGAAAUAAUGAAACCUUCAUAAGCUAAUUGGUAGCUUAAGGUGACUACAAUCAAAGAGAAUGGUUGACUUUGAAGAAACCAUCUUUGAGAUAGUCUAGGUUUCAAUUAAUUCGAAGAUUGCUAGCUACAACUAAAUUGUGAUUCAAUGUUUGGACAUUAUAUGGGUUUCCGAAACCAUUAUUAAGAUAGUCUUGAUAAUAUAUGUCUAAAACUAUAAAUCACAAGACAUGUAAGUUGUAGAGAUCCAUCCAUCAUGGAUCUUAGCAAGCUAGUGGGAGCUAUAAGCAUCUUAUGAGAAAAGGAUCAAAUCGUUUGAUUUCUCAUAAAGAUGUAAAUGAAUCUUUUGUUUACUAGGUUUACAAAAGAUUAGUGGGAGUUAAUAAUGUUCCUAAAAUUUAAAAUAUAUAUAUGAUAUAUUAAUUUUGGAAAUGAAAAGAAUACUUCUCCAUUAAAGUUAUGACUUUAAUACAUUAUAUGAAGAUAGAAUGUAUAUGCAAGUUAAUCAUGUUCCUAAAUUUAAAUGUGCCCUAAAACCAAUCAUAUGAUGAUACUUUACGGACAUUUCACAUGUUAAACUAAUCUAGUUUAAUAUCAAGGGCAUAGAUUAUUGUUUUAAGCCGUCUCAUAUAAAUGUUAUAUGCUUAAACGAUAAGUCCAAGGAAUAUGUGAUUGGGAGAAUACGAUCUAAAGAAGUUAGAUUCAUGAGACCAUUCUUUCGUAGACACAUCCUAAACGUUCCUGAUCAUAGGAUUGCCAAUUGGGCAUUGACAGUCCGUUAAGAUCAGUACGUGCUGUGUCUUCUCUCAGGGAGAGUGACUAGUCUCGAGUCAUUGGUGUGUGUGACAUCAAGACAAGUACGUAGGUGCUCAAUAAAGAAUAAGUUCACUGAACACGAUCAACGAAGAGUUCUCAUAUUCAUGUCACAUGAGAACUCAUGGUUGGGAUAAUGCAAAGUAGUCUUUUGACCUGAGGCAUCACAGCUGUCUUGUGGUUAAGUCCUUGAUCUUUGAUUAUGUCAAAGUCACCCCAUCCGCGGGUGUCCACGGCAUCGUUGGGGUUAAGCUACUUAGCCAUGGAGGCAAGUGAAUGCGCAACAAGGGAUCUCUAACCUUCAAACCGUUUGAGGGAGAAUACUCUAUGAUAUGAUUAAGAAUCUUUGGCCAAAGUAUGAAUGAGAUUUAGGAAGGCAUUCCAAAUCACAUUCAAGGUAAUCAUAUAAGCACACGAAUCACAUUGGAUAGUAGACAUGAAUAAACUAUCAAACCAAACAAUGUGGUCAAGAGUAUUGUAUUAGAAAAAGACCGUAUUGCAUUUGUAAUCCUAAACUGAAUAGGUUCUCCACCUCUUCUGAUUAGCUUGGGUAACCAUGAUAUGCUGCUAGGUGUCACUCAUGGUUUGUGGAAGCCCUAAAUGUGUAUAAUCACUAAAGGAAGAAUUGAAAGUAAGUUUCAAUUCACAAUUGAUUUGAAAGAGUUUUAAUCGCCCACUGCCUCUCUAAAAGGAACCUAAUGGAUCGUACACCGUGUAAGGUGGAGAUUGAAGAAACAAUGGAGAUGAGUAAGAAUAAUUAAAAGGUUUAAUUAUUUAUGGCAAGGAUUAAUUAAUAUGUUAAUUAAUCAAACGAAUAAGUUCGUUAAAGACAUCGGGAUAGUUUUGGACCUUAAGGCCCAUUGGGCUUCGAACGUCAAGCCCAUUGACUUAAGUUGUAUGCCAAUUUAAUGAAUAAAGAUUCAGAAAGGCCCAAAAGCCCAAAUCCCUAAUGUAGCUGGCCAUAUGUGUUGAAUUAGGGUUUUUUGGUUCUUUAGGUCAUUUAUAGAAGUGACUAUAUAAAGAACUUUAUAGCCUAAAAUUCAUUAAGGGUUCUUUUGGAGAAAAUUGGUGAGAACUUGUCUCUCCUUUUCUCUCUAGGAGGCCGGCCCCCUUGGAGGGUGGAUCUAGCAAUCCCACUACUCCAAGGUCACUCAUUCCUUCUCCAAUCUCUCCUUGGUGUGGAGACUUAGAGGUUCUCAAUUUUGGGAACUUGGAGAAACCUUUUCAUCCAUCCAAAUCCAUAGAUUUUAGAUGCAAGGAAUGAAGGCCCUCUCCUUGGGUGAUUAGCCUUUGCUUAUGCAAAGAGGAAUCUACAAAGGUAUAAAUCUCAACUCACUUUGUUUUGAGUUGAUUCUUGGUUCACCAAUCUACUAGGCUUUGAAUUUCAUGGGUAAUGUUUUGUUUUUGAAUGCAUGCAAGCAUGAUUCCGCCUUUUAAUUGUUAAAUGCAUGCUAUAGAUGUUAGUCAAAUGAACAUGUUUUCACAAAAUCGUCCAUCAACAAGCUAAUCAAAGCAGGCUUCAUUCGAGAGGUGCAAUACCCUAAAUGGAUCUCCAACGAUGCUUACCCGAAUGAUGACUUUCCCUUGCCAAUCAUCUAAAUCAUGGUGGACGCGUAGGACCAAUUAUACCAAAAUCAUUUGCAGGAUAAGCCUACAUCCUAGUCGUAAUGGGUUACUUCUCUAAGUGGGCUGAAGCCGUACCCCUAAGGGAAGUCAAGAAGGAAACUGUUGUCCAUUUCAUCAAAGAACAUAUCAUCUACCGAUAUGGUGUGCCUCGCUACCUCAUCCUCGACAACGAAAAACAGUUCUCUGACCGACUUAUGGAUGAGCUUUGCAAGAAAUACAAAUACAAGCAUCAUAAGUCUUCCAUGUAUCAUGCUCCGGCCAAAAGUCUCGCGGAAACAUUUAACAAAACAUUAUGCAACCUCCUGAAAAAGGUAAUCAGUUGAACAAAGAGAGACUGGCUUGAAAGAAUAAGCAAAGCACUUUGGGCAUUUAGGACAACACAUAGAACUCCUACCUAAGCUACGCCUUAUGGCGUGGAAGCUGUUCUACCACUCGAAAGUCAAAUCCCCUUACUAAGGAUAGCUAUACAAGAAGGCUUGAUUGAAGUGGAAAAUGCAAAGCUAAGACUUCAAGAGUUGGAAGCACUUGACGAAAGGAUGGUUUAAGCUCACCAACACUUGGAAUGCUACCAAGCACGGCUAUCCAAGGCAUUCAAUAAGAAGGUUCGCUCAAGUUCUUUCCAAACUGGAGAUCUUGUCUUGGCAUUACGAAGGCUUAUCAUCACAACUCACAUUUGAAGUGGACAUUGUUUAGUUAUCUAGAAUAUUUAGGACAUGUUUUGCCCCUAGUUCAAAAUAGGGAAGUUUAAUAAAAAGCUCUCAGUACUGUUCACUUUAACGAAAAACCACAUUUUUACAUUAAAAAGACAAUCCUAGUACUAUUGACUUUACCCUUUGAAAAUAUAACAUUAUGAAACCUAAUAUGUCACUUGAAUCAAAGAUAAUUGAUGGGCAACAACUUCUAAUAUAUAGAUUAAAUUCUAUAAGUUGAGCCUGACUGCUUACUAGGAGAAUACAAGUAUAAUUAAUAGCUGUUAGGCUGAGGAGGGAAGUCUAAAUGUCCUUAAUCGACCAAAUAAAUCCCAAUUAUGAAAUAAACAAACCUGUAAAAACUUGACAGGUCCAUCAGUUCAAAACCAAUUUUUGACCAAACUCAUGAUAGAGAAACAUGUAACUUCUAAUACAUUUCGGAUGGUGUUACCUACACUCUUUUUUACAUUUAGAAUGGUGUUAUCUCUGCUCUUUUUUUCUUCAAUUUAUUCGAUUUGACGACUGAACAUUAAGAGAAUGUGAAAAAAGAAAAAUAAGGUUAGCACCAACCUAUAUUUAGUUUGAAUACGUGUAGUGGUAUUUCUCUUCAUUUGUAAGUGAGAGGUCUUAGGUUCGAUUCCUACCAAAGGCGAAUUUGAACCACAUUAUUGUUAGUCUAAUGUGAGGCUAAAUUCACUAUUUCUUCUUCAGUGUAAACAAUAUCGUGUUAAAAAAAGAAAUUCAAUCAUCGAAUGAUAAUUUUCAUGUUUAUAUUUUAAGUGGAAAGCAGCUUCGUACAGUAGGGUAUGCAGUGCCUUUUUCCUUUUUAACUUUGUAGUACAGUGUUUGCUUGGCAAAGUAGCACCUUACUUGGGGGCUUUCCUGCACACAAUACAAAAGCAAAGUUCGACUUCUUCAAAAAAGGAAAUAUAUAAUGUUACGUUUAAGUGCUUUGCAAAGGAUCGUUAAGGGUGUAGUUAGGGUGUAGUUAGGGUGCACUUAGGUGCAGUUCCAUGAGCAACACAAUUUCUUUUCCAUGUAUGGUUGAUAAUUACAUGGGUUGUUUAGAUAACUAUACAAUAUCGAAAACCGAAAUCGUGAAUGUCUGCCCAAGGUCUUUUCAAUCUGGAGAUGUUGUCUUGUCAUUAUGAAGGCCUAUCAUCACAACUCACAAGAUAAAAAGCAAGUUCACAUCAAAGUGGGAUGGACCUUACGUAAUACAAGAGGUCUACAGAAACAACGCUUACUUAAUCAUGGUAGAAGACGACUUAAAGAUCGGCCCCAUGAAUGGCAGAUUCUUGAAGUGUUACUACCCUUAAACUAAACAAGCAAAGUUCCUCGCUUGCAUGAGCCUAAACUGCAUAGGAAACAAUGCUCAUUGUUCUCACGAGCUUAAAAGGCGACACCCAAUGCUCCUUGUUUGCACGAUCUUAAAAGGCGACACCCAAUGCCCUUCGCCUGCAUGAGCCUAAACUGGACAUGGCACAAAGCUCCUCACUUGCACAAGCCUAAACUGCACAGGAAACAAUGCUCCUUGUUCACACGAGCUUAAAAGGUGACACUCAACGCUCCUGGCCCUCAAUGAAGGAAAUAUUUGUGAAAACUAGUUCAUUUGAGCAACAUCUACAACAUGUAAUUAAUAAUUAAAGGCGGAAUCAUGCUUGUAUGCACUAAAAAAGAAAAAACUUUACCCAUGAAAUUCAAAGCCCAGUAGUUAUCGUGAACCAAGACUCAACUCAAGAACAAAGUGAGUUGAGAAAUAUUAUACCUUUGUUGAUUCCUUUUUGCAUAAGCAAAGGCUAAUCACCCAAGAGAUAGGGCAUUCAUUCCUUACUUCUUAACUCCAUGGAUUUCUUGGAUGAUGAUAGUAGAAUGGAUUCUCCAAGUUCCCAAAAUAGGGAACCUUUAAGUCUCCACACCAAGGAGAGCAUUGAUAAGGAGAUGAGUGACCUAGGAAUAUUUAGAUGCUAGUAAAACCUUCCUAGGGUGGUAGGCCUUUUAGAGAGAAAAGGGAGCUUGUGUUCUCAUCUUUUCUCUAAAAGAAAUCCUAAGGAUGAAAUGGCUAUAAAGUUGUCUUUAUACCACCUCACAAUGGAGUGGCGAACUUGCAAUUAAGCCAAGUUCACUACCCUUCACUCUUAUGGCGAGCCAUAUUGGGUUCUUUAGGCUUUGAGGCCUUUUGUGUUUCAAGUUGUCGUACAACUUGAGUUAAUGGGCUUGACAUUUAAGUCUCAUUGGGCCUUGCGGCCCAAAACUAACCCUAGGUCUAUAAUGAACAUAUUCGUUUGAUUAAUUAAACUAACCCUAGGUCUAUAAUGAACAUAUUCUUUUGAUUAAUUAACAUAUUAAUGUUGGAAAUGUGCCCUAAAACCAAUCAUGUGAUGAUACUUUACGGACAUUUCACAUGUGAAACUAAUCUAGUUUAAUAUAAAGGGCAAAGAUUAUUGUUUGAGCCGUCUCAUAUAAAUGUUAUAUGCUUAAACGAUAAAGUCCAAGGAAUAUGUGAUUGGGAGAAUGCGAUCAAAUGAAGUUAGAUUCAUGAGACCAUUCUUUCGUAGACACAUCCUAAAUGUUCCUGAUCAUAGGAUUGUCAAUUGGGCAUUGACAGUCCCUUAAGAUCAGUACGUAUUGUGUCUUCUCUCAGGGAGAGUGACUAGUCUCGAGUCAUUGGUGUGUGUGACAUCAAGACAAGUAUGUAGGUGCUCAGUAGAGAAUGAGUUCAUUGAACGUGAUCAACGAAGAGUUCUCAUACUCAUGUCACAUGAGAACUCAUGUUUGGGAUAAUGCAAAUUAGUCCUUUGACCUGAGGCAUCACAGUUGUCUUGUGGUUAAGUCCUUGAUCAUUGAUUAUGUCAAAGUCACCCCAUCGGGGUGUCCACGGCAUCGUUGGGGUUAAGCCACUUAGUCAUGGAGGCAAGUGAAUGCGCAACAAGGGAUCUCUAACCUUCAAACCGUUUGAGGGAGAAUACUCUAUGAUGUGAUUUAGAAUCUCUGGCCAGAGUAUGAAUGAGAUUUAGAAAAGUCGUUCUAAAUCACAUUCAAGGAAAUCAUAUAAGCACACGAAUCACAUUGGAUAGUAGACAUGAAUAAAUAAACUAUCAAACCAAACAAUGUGGUCGGGAGUAUUAGAUUAGAGAAAGACCGUAUUGCAUUUGUAAUCCCAAACUGAAUAGGUUUUCUCUACCUCUUCUGAUUAGCUUGGGUAACCAUGAUAUGCUGCAAGGUGUCACUCAUGGUCUGUGGAAGCCCUAAACGUGUGUAAUCACUAAAGGGAGAAUUGAAAGUAAGUUUCAAUUCACAAUCAAUGUAAAAUGGUUUUAAUCGCCCACUACCUCGCUAAAAGGAACCUAAUGGAUCGCACACCGUGUAAGGUGGAGAUUGAAGAAACAAUGGAGAUGAGUAAGAAUGAUUAAAUGGUUUAAUCAUUUAUUUAUGGCAAGGAUUAAUUAAUAUGUUAAUUAAUCAAACGAAUAAGUUCGUUAAAGCCCUCGGAAUAGUUUUGGACCUUAAGGCCCAAUGGGCUUCGAACGUCAAGCCCAUUAACUUGAGUUGUAUGACAACUUAAUGAAUAAUGAUUCACAAAGGCCCAAUUAGUCCAAAAUAUCCUAAUGGCCGGCCAUAUUGUUUAGGGUAGUGAACUUGGACUUAUUUACAAGUUUGCCACUCAAAUGAAUAAAGGUAUAAAUAUGACUUUAUAGCCAAAAUUCAUUAAGGGUUUUCUUUUGGAGAAAAUUGGUGAGAACUUGUCUCUCCAUUUCUCUCUAAAGAGGCCGGCCACCUUGGGGGGUGCAUCUUGCAAUCCCACUACUCCAAGGUCACUCAUUUCUUCUCCAAUCUCUCCUUGGUGAAGAGACUUAGAGGUUCUCAAUUUUGGGAACUUGGAGAAACCUAUUCUUCCAUCCAAAUCCAUAGAUUUAAGAUGCAAGGAAUGAAGGCCCUUGAUAGGAGCAUUUUUAUGCGACUUAAUUGGCUUGUUCUCAUGCAUUUAUGUUGUUUUUCCUUAGUUAGUUUAGUGUUUAAAGUCAUUUUCGUGCAAUUUCAGGUUUUAUUGUCAAAGUAUGCAAAAAGGAGCAUUUUGGAGCUUUUAGGAGCAAAAUUGGGCUUGGAAUGAAGUGCAUAUGCAUGGAGCAAGGAGUUUGGACGAAUUUGAAGUCAAAAGAGGCUAGGAACAUGCUAAAAAUCUGGUGAAACAAAUACAAGUUGCAAGAAGGGAUAGGUUUCUAGAAGGAUUGACCAAAAUUUCACUCAAAACCAUGCCUACCCCAGAAAUUCAUCAAUGCCGUGGGUAUUGACUCACUUCCACCAGAAAUUUGAGUGAUUGUUCAAUACCUAACCCACUAGGAAAUUGAGUAGAUGAUUCAUCCCUAAAAUCACAGAAAUUCACAUCCUUGCCGUGCAUCCUUAUUGCUUUCCACCAGAAAUUUGAGUGAUGAUGCAAUGCCUAACUCACCAUGACAUUUGAGAUGAUGCAAUGCCUAACUCACCAUGACAUUUGAGUGGAUGAUUCAUCCCCAACUCAACAGAAAAUGAGUAGAUUGUGCACAGAAAUUGAGUGGAUGAUUCAAGACCUAACCCACCAUUAUUCUCCACAUCAAUGCCGUGUGUCACCUACUUGUUUUCCACCAGAAAAUUGAAUUAAACAAGUCCAUCCUCUCCCUAUAAAUACCCAUGGCAGCAGCCUCAUUGAAAUCAUCCAGAAAUUAACCAUUCUCCAAGCCUUGCCUUGCCUCUCCCUACAUAUCUAAACUCCUUCCCAUCCAUUCCUCCACAUAACCAACCCUUCAAAACAUCACUCCAACCUUGAGUUGCAGCAAAGAAGAAGAGGAAAGUUCUUGUACGUGCUUGCUAUCCAACAUGGAUCGUUGGAACGUUUAGGUGUUUUCUUUCUUUUGUUUUCAAUGUAUAAUUCUGUUUAUCUUUGUUUUGUGAACAUGAGGAACUAAACCCCUAUUUAGUUAGGGGGAAGUUUGAAGCCAUGAACAUGCUUGUGAUAUGAAUUGAUUUCUUCCAAUUGUGAUUUGAUAAGUUGUGAUUGCAAUUCAAUUAUCUAUUUUCUUCAUAACUGAUUCUUGUAUGUUUAUUAAGGAUGCAUACUUAGUUUUCAUACAUAAAUUAGAUGCUAGAAUAUAAAUGAGUUUCACCUAAUUGUUACAAGUUUAUAUCAUGAGUAGUGAAGGUUGCUUGUCACAAUCGCAUUAAUUGAAUUCUUGGCAAACGUAUCAUGCAUUCAUAGUUACAAUUGCCUCGUCAACACUUAUGAUUUUCAUUGAACGUAAUGAUCUCUGAUUGUAUCUCUAUUAUGCAUUCAUAUAGGGGACUUUUAGAGAAUAAUUUGGAUUGUCGCAUGCAUUCAUCCAAUUCAAUAAGUAAAGGAAAAUCUGAGGGUUAAUUUGUGCAUUACGGUCAAUCUGGGGUGUUGAGCAUCAUAGUUUAUUGAAAAGCAAUUGGAAAUCGAUUCAUGUACAAGUGUGUCAUGUGUGAAGAACGUAUCUCUAACUAAUCCAUCCAUCAUCUUAUUUCUCAAAUUCGUUUUACAAUCUGCCUAGCUAAAAAUCUAUUUAAGUUUUAGUUUAUUUGUUCUACUUUCAACUUCACCAAACCCAAAUCCCCCUUUUACUUUCUUGUUUUAAAGUCUUUUGUUUACAUUUUUAACUUUGUUUUUUUUGUUUUUGAGUCAGUUUAGAGGUUUUAGCAAGCCCUCCUAAUCCCCGGUUUAGAACGAUCCCUACUUACAUACUUUGCUACAAUUAUCAAAAGAGGGUUUAAUUUGUGUGCUUAUAUUAUUCGCAUUAGCCCUCUCUUUGGGUGAUUAGCCUUUGCUUAUGCUAAGAGGAAUCUACAAAGGUAUAAAUCUCAACUCACUUUGUUAUGAGUUGAUUAUUGGUUCACCAAUCUACUAGGCUUUGAAUUUCUUGGUUAAUGUUUUGUUUUUAAGUGCAUGCAAGCAUGAUUCCGCCUUUAAUUGUUAAUUGCAUGCUUAUAGAUGUUGCUUAAAUGAACAUGUUUUCACAAAAUAUUCCUUCAAGUGGUAUCAGAGCCUAGGUCUAGUAGUUGGUGAAUCCUUUUGGGUUUUGUGGUUCAUAGUUUGUGAUUUAAAAGUUGUAAUAUGUUACAAGCUUUAUUCUUGUUUCUUUGAAUGUAAAUUUUGUUAGAAAAUUUGCCAUCUCAAAUGUUGUAGAUGUAGUUCAUAUGAGCAUGAAUAUUGGAGCUAAAAUUUGGUGCCAUGACUUUGGGGAUUUUCGGUCAAAUCCAAAGGGUGGAUUUUUGGGUUCUUGUUUGACUUGUUAAAAGUGUUUUCAAGUGACUUUUGGAACCCCUAUGUACCCUAGUUUGGUUAGAUGUUAUUUCCCUAAAGUUUGAAUGGUUUUGGAAUGUUUUUGGGUGAAAAAUGUUCAUGGAAAAUUUUGAGUUUUUUCAUGAGUGUUCUUCAUUGUUCUUGACAUUUUUGCCAAGAACAAAAAGGUUUGUGUUUUGAUUCAAAGUUUUGAUUUAUUUCAUAAAGUUUAUGUUUUAUGUUUUUCAAAUGAUUUAUUGCAUAAGAUAUUUAUUUGAAUGGUGAUGGAAAUGGUGAUGGGUGUGUAAGGAUUAAUUCCCUUUCACACACACCACUUGCACCACUUGUUGCUUUAUGUCUAAAACUCACAAAUCAACACACACAUCACUCUAUCCUCUUCCAAAACCGGCCACCCCCUAGUGGGGGUACUUUUGGGGCCUUUUAUGCAAUUACAUAAAGUUUUGAUACUUUUGUGUAUUUGCACUUUGGCCCAAAAGUUUACGUUUUUACGUUUAGGUCCAAAAACGCUAAAGGACAAAUUGUUUUGCUCCUUUAAUGAAGUUUUUGCAUUGAUUAAAUUUUGGGUUCUAUUGUAAUUACAUGAAGUAGUAGACUUUUGUGUCUUUACAAAGUGACCCCAAAAGUUUUGCAAUAUAGCCCAAAAGUUGAGGUUAAUUGCUUUAUGGCCCAAAUUAGGUAGAGAACAAAAUUUGUUUUGUCUCUUUAAAUGAGAAUUGGAUUUUCAUUUUGUUUAGAUCCAUUUAAAUCAAUUUUAUGGAUACAAAAACCAAAUGAAAAUGUUGCAUUCAAUUUAAUUAGUUAAAGUGUUAAUUAAUUAAAGGGUGAUUAUGAACCUAAGCCUAAUAUAAUUGAGCUAUGUGAUAGGCCGUUUCAAAUUUGUUUGAACCAUGGGAAUGUGUAGAUUAGAUUUUGGUUGUAAUUUGAUUUGAUCAAAUGUUGUAAAAAGGGCUUAAGCUCUUCUUUACUUUAAAGUAAUUUGUUUAUUGCAAAUGUUGUAAUGAGCAUAAGCUCACCUUUACUUUGAAGUACUUCUUUCUUGCUUUAUUUGAUAUGCAUGAAAAUGAAGUAGUUGGGUCCAACGCCCCUAAGACAACACGCCUUAAUGUGAUUAAACGCGUAACUAAAAUCAAUCACCAUCCCUAGACCGAGAUUCAACACAAGGCUCGUGUUGAAUCUAAACAAAGGUUCAUAAUCAUCCUAAGGCCCUAAGGCAACUAUAUAGUCCAUCAAAUGAAUGCAAAGGUUAUGUUAGUAGUAUCAUAUACUCUUGCUUUAAAAACCGUUUUAUAAGCAUAGUGGGAGUAUUAUAUACAACUAAAAACAAUCAUAUGGACCCAUAGUUGUAAUAGGACCAAUAUUGUUUUAAUAGAGAUUAAAAUGUAUGUUUUUAUGUGAUGAGACCUAAAACCCUCAACCAAACCCUUAUUAAGUUGAUAAGCGUGAGAGUGCUUUGAACACUCUUUCGUGGCCUUCCACCGUGGUAGCUCCAAUCGUUUGUGACUCGUACACCGGCUUCAUCCUAUAAUGGGGGAGUACAAAGUGCGUGCUUACACUCAGGAGGAGUUCUAUAUACAUACAUGAUGAAGUGAGGUAGGCAACGAGUUUAGCCAACAUGAUAUAAUUCUGAGGCUAUGCUUGAACCCUUACACGAACUAGGCAUGGUGGGAAUGACUUAACUAAGUGCAAUGACGCCGACAUGAUAUAAUUCUGAGGCAAUCAUUCUCUAGAGGCCAAAUAAGAUGGGUACUUGCAUUAGAUGCAAAUGAGUAAGCGUACUCUCUCAUUAUUAUUAACGCUAGCCAACAUGAUAUAAUUCUGAGGUGGGCUUGGUAAUAGUGAGCCUCCCAUAACCUACUAAGAGUUUCCUCCAAAACUCUCGAAUUCCAAUGAGGGAUAUGGAAUUUGCCAAAAAUAGUGGGUGGUGCUAUUUGAUUUAAAGACCCGAAUCAAAUGGCUUAAAAUCAAUCAAUUUAUAUUCGUUAUGUAUUUGUUUACCAAUAUAUUUGCAAACGCUAUCCAAAACUUGACAAAGAAAAGCCGAUUGCUUUAGUUUCCGGACUUGGUAACACAAUCCCAAAGAUUGUCUUAAAUGGAUUGUAUAUGUACCUAAGUAGUCACAUCCUCAAAAUCGUUCUAUUGGUAAUGUAUCAUUGAAAGAACAUGUUAGAUAAGUCUAUCAUGAAGAGGACAACACAAACAACCAAUGCUUAAUCCUUUGUUAAAUGAACAAAGGAACUUACGAAGAUUAGCAUAAUGACAAGGACACUUUUAGUGUUAUUAGUUCUUUACUUACAAAUCGUUGUAUGGAGAAAUAAUAGUUGCUUUGAACAACCCUUAGUCAAUGCAAACACUAGUGCUUGUUUCUUUGUUAAAUGAACAAAGAAUUUGAGAAGAAAGCACAAAGGCAUGGACACUUUAUGUGCCAUGAUUCUUCACUUACAAAUUGUUGUAUGAAGAAAUGAGAGUUGCCUUGUCAACUCUUGAAGGUUUGUAAUUAUGUUUAGAACAUAAUGGUUGGUUGACAAAAAUAGUCCAUUAACAUGGACUUAUGAUGAUUUUGAAUCAUUGAGUGUUGAAGUGAUAAACCACUUAAUGAGACGGAAACUAGGCAAUGACUUCACCUUUGUGUCCCUAUCCUUAUGGUUCACUAAGUUUAUUGUAAACUAUAUAGUGAACAAUAACCACAUGCUCUCCAAAAUGUUUGAUGUGUAUAACACAAUUGAAAUAAGUUUCAAGAGAGAUAGUGGGAGUUUAGGGACCAUGACUAUUGUAGUCAAAGGAGAAGUCAAAUGAAGAAGAUUAAAUUAACUCCAAGGGAACAAACUUUCUUUAUGAAAGGAUGGACAUUGGAAGGGGUAUUUGCAAGAAAUGUCUUGCAAGUGUCAAGAACACACCUUUCGAAGGUGUUGUAAAUUGUUCUUGAAAAGUUCAAAACAGUUGGUUCUUCUACUUGAAUGCUUGAUUCCGUAUUAGUAACUAUGUUUUACAAUCGUUGUAAAAGUGUGACUAAUAAGAAGUAGAAGAUAUAUGAGAGAAGAAAAAGGUGCUUCACAUUCGGAACGUGAAUAAAAUAAAGAUCUCUGCGAAAGCAGAUAGUACUUACUUCCUCAUAUGAACUACCAAAGAAAUUGGAAAAACCAAAGAUUGUCUUUACAUUCCAAUUUUAAGGAACUAAAUUGGUCACUAUGUGAAAUGGAUAAAUGUUUUGUUUGACAAAACAAUGUUCUUUAUUAAUCAAUGAUUGGAUUAUGGUAAUCUAAUUGAUUAUCUCUAUAGUAGAGAUGAUAUGGUAGUGUUAACUGUUUAGAAUAUAAUGAUGCUUAAAACCCAAAAGGUUGCAAGGUAGUGACUAAUCCCAACUGAGUUGUGAUACCUCUAAAACAUAAAUUACGAGUUGGUCAUUGAUGGAUGCUUUGGAUCGUUAGAUCCGGAUCCAAUACCUUCUUGUUAAAAUUGUAUAGAGGCGAAAUGUUCGAAUCUUUAUUCUUUUGGAAAGAAGAAAGAAUCACAAAGUUGUUGAGGUUAAUUCACUUAGAUGUUAGUGGCACUUGUCCACAAACAUAAUACUACUCAUGUUGUAUGACAUUCACCGAAGAUCACUCUCGGUUGGACUAUAGUUUAUUUUGAAUAAACACAAGUCCGAAUCCUUUGCAAAAGUUUCAAAGAAUUCAAGAAAUGUAAGUUGAUGAGUAAGACAUCUAAAGUAUUUACCUCCUUAGAUUUGAUCCAAGGAAAGGUAACACUUUAGAUGAGUUUCCUUGAAAGAUAUCAAGAAAAAUAGCAUCAUAAGAUAAUGUAUUUCUCCAUUAGGAGAAGAACGAACUCGAAUAAGAUUUAGUUCGUUAGAUGUUAUCUAUUACCCAUAUAUAGGAUAUAUACUUCUAAAACAAUAUGAUUGUCAAUGAGAAGAUCUUCCAAUAUUUUCAUGACUCCAUAAGAUGUUGUUGGAAAGAAAGACAAAUCUUAAAACAUGUUAAGAUUUGGGGUUGUGUGCUAAUAAGCAAUAUUUGUUUGAUAACAAUCUUGUAGGAUAUCCUUAAAUUAACUUUUGGAUAUCGCUUCUAUAAACCAACUAACAAAUGUUGUUUUGUUGGGUUGUUCAUUGUAAUCCUACAAUGUGAUUUGCCUAACAGCAAAUGAACAAAAGAUAGAACUCAAAGAAUGGGUUCUUUGAGAGACAAGAUAAUAAUCAACAAAUAUAACAACCUAGUUCCUAUACCAAAAGCUCCAAGGUAGUCAAGAAGGAUUUAUAAACCGUCUCAGUUGAAUGGUUUGAACUUUAUGACCAUGUCAUAGAGUUACACCUCUUAAUUCGAAAGAAAUAAGAAUGAAAAUCCUUAUGACUACAUUGAGUGCAUAUACGAUAUAUACUCAAGGAAAUGGUAAAGUACCAUUUGACCCGAAAUAAUGAAACCUUCAUAAGCUAAUUGGUAGCUUAAGGUGACUACAAUCAAAGUAAAUGGUUGACUUUGAAGGAACCAUUUUUUACGUAGUCUUAGUUUCAAUUAAUUCGAAGAUUGCUAGCUACAACUAAAUGGUGAUUCAAUGUUUGGACAUAAUAUAGGUUUCCGAAACCAUUAUUAAGAUAGUCUUGAUAAUAUAUGUCUAAAACUAUAAAUCACAAGACAUGUAAGUUGUAGAGAUCCAUCCAUCAUGGAUCUUAGCAAGCUAGUGGGAGCUAUAAGCGUCUUAUGAGAGAAAGGUCAAAUCGUUUGAUUUCUCAUAAAGAUGUAAAUGAAUCUUUUGUUUACUAGGUUUACAAAAGAUUAGUGGGAGUUAAUCAUGUUCCUAAAUUUGUAUAUAUAUAUAUAUAUAUAAAUAUAUAUGUGAUAUAUAUGAAUGUAUAUAUGAUAUAUUAAUUUUGGAAAUGAAAAGAAUAUUUCUUCGUUAAAGUUAUGACUUUAAACAUUAUAUGAAGAUAGAAUGUAUAUGGGAGACAUAGUCUAUAUACAUGGGAUGGAAAUCUAUAUUGAUAGAUUUCAAGAUAUAAUUUGAUUAUAUCAAUCCUUAAUAAUAGACAAAAAAUACUAGGAAGUUUCUCAUAUGAUGAUAAACUUCAAUUAGAAGGACGACUCUAGUGUGACUAGCAAGUUGCCCUUCUCAAAGGGAACAUGCCCUUUUGACUCCCCAAGAAAUAAUGCGUAUAUAAGAAUCCUUUAUGCAUACGCAUAAAGGUGAUUUAUGUAUUUCAUAUUGUAUGAAAAACAUUGAUAUGAGUUGUACCUAGAACAGGUACAAGACGAUGUCAGUGCAAGCCCAGGAUCACAACCAUGGCAAAUGUCAAGUGAAUCCUUAAGUAUUUAAGAAAUACUAAAGGAUAAAUUCCUCAAAGAUCGAGGAAGAAUUAGAGUAACGUAAUGGAAGCGUAAAUGUAUUAGAUUGUGAAUCUAAUCCAUCAUUGGAUGUUUCUUCAUUAUGAAUGAAGAGAUAAACGGAUAUCUCUUUAUUAUGACUAAAGAGAUAUUUGGAUGGAAACAUUAAAGUAAUGACUUUAGUGUGUUCCAUUAUGAAAGCAAAAUAUAUUUCCAUAUAGAAGCUUACAACAAUGUUGUUUGGAUGGGAAAGUUCAUUUAUGAACUCUCUAUUCGGUUCCAACCAGAAAGUGUAUCUAGUGUACUGACACUAUGACACUAAUAGGGCGAUAGCUCAAGCCAGGGAAUCAAGGUCUCAUCAAGGUCCGAACUCAAAUGAGAGACUGAACCACAUGAUUGAGAAUCAUGUAUAGUAGUGACGUCGUUAUUCUCAAGGUUGCUUCUAUGGAUAACAUAUAGAUAUCCAUUGUCU